AAUAAAGGGCAAAUCUCCAAAAUAGCACCUUUCUAAGUUUAUAUCACAAAAAUAGCACUCCAAAACUAAAAUGACCAAAAUAGCACCUUUCUAAGUUUAUCCUUUGAAAAUUUUAUUUUUUUUAUUUUUCAAAAUUUGAAAUCUUAUCCCCAAAACCUCAUUUCUCAACUCUAAACCCUAAACCCUAAAUUCUAAACCCUAAACCCUAAAUUCUAAACCCUAAACCCUAAACCCUAAACCCUAAACCCUAAACCCUAAUCUAUAAACCCUAAACCCUAAACUCUAAACCAUAAACCAUAAACCCUAAACCCUAAAUCCUAAACCCCACCCUUUAACUCUAAACCCUAAGUUUGUGACUUUUGAUAAAACAUUAAGUGCUAUUUUUGUGAUUUUUGACCUUGAGUGCUAGUUUGGGAACAAAAACUUGAUUUAGUGCUAUUUUUGUAUUUUUCUCAAAAAUAAAAUACAUAUAUAAUAAUGUUAAUUAGAUAUAUUUGAUUCAUUAAGGGUAUAUCGUAAUCAACUACGUGAGAUUUAACGUGAGAACGACACGUAGAAAACUGACUUCUCAAAUAAUAUUACAGAGAUUACCUAGAAUUUUCAGUAUUAUCGAACCAACUUAUCUCCUGGUGAAUAACUUUAUCAAAAGAUAAUGAUCUAAUGCGUUUGAUAAAUCUUCCUCCAGCUAUAGCGAACAGAUAGUUUUGAAACGGAACCACGAUCAGAUCCGUUAAACCGAGCAAGACGAAGAUGAUAGCCCAGAAAUGUGAAUCUUUACGUAGUUGAUCUAAGGCUCGAAGAAUAUCUUGAUAGUGCUAGACAUAAGCAGCCCUUGGACCGGGUACACAAUACCGUGAACCGCUGCAGCCAAUGAACCGGCCAACAAAACUGGAAUCUCUGGUUUGUUGAGGUGAGCAAGCCGUCGCAACGAUACUUUCUCUCGUUUCUUGGACGCUUUGUUCUCCGUGGAAGACUUAUUCUCGUGGGUUUCUUUGGUUUGGUUCAAAUUAAUCGGUCUCGGUAAACCAAAAUCGGUUUGGUUGUGGCUAACGGAUAUAUUCUCACGCAGCUCCAGUUCCUCCACUCCUCCUUUCUUUGAUACUUCUUGUAGACUAACAAGCUGUGAAUACGCUCCCUCGGGAUCUUGAAUCAUCUCCUCGUGAGUUCCUGAUUACAACUUCUGUUAAUAUACACUUAUAAACUGAUUACGUGCGUAGCGCGGUACUAAAUAAAUCCCAAACCUUUCUCAAUGAUUUUGCCCUGCUGCACAACGGCGAUCAUGCUGGCGGUUUUAAUAGUGGUAAGUCGAUGAGCCACCGCGAUGAUUGUCCGGGUUGACAUUAGCUUAACAAGAGCGUCCUGAACUGUUCGUUCUGAUUCCGCAUCUAAAGCACUUGUUGCUUCAUCAAGAAGCAAGAUUUUAGGGUUUUUCAAUAUGGCCCUAGCAAUCGCGAGCCUCUGCUUCUGUCCACCAGAUAAUUGUGUCCCGUGAUCUCCUACCAUUGUGUCCAAACCCUAAAAAUAUAGAGAAUUAAGAAAUGUAAACUCGAUUUAUUGGUCAAAAUCGUUACACCUAAAGUUUAAGUACCUGCGGCAGUUUGUCGACAAACCUAGUAGCAUUAGCCAGCUUAACCGCGGUUCUAAUUUCUUCAUCGGAUGCAUCUUCUUUCCCAUAAACAAUGUUCUCCCUGAUUGUGGUUGCGAAAAGUAUAGGCUCUUGGCUUACUAAACCAAUCUUGCUUCUGAUCCAUCUUAACUGAAGCUUCUUUAAAGCAAUUCCAUCAAUUAAAACUUCUCCUGAUUCCGGAUCAUAGAACCUCUCAAUCAGACUGAUCACUGUUGAUUUUCCGCUUCCACUCUGCCCCACCAAAGCCACGGUGGUGCCAUUUGGUACAACCAACGAAAAUCCAGCAAAGAUCUGCACGUCAGGUCUUGCUGGAUAUCGAAAAUACACGUCUUUUAGCUCAAUGUCUCCUUUAAUCUCGUCCAAAACCUUACCAGUCAUGCUAUAAGCAUCUAUCUUUGGUUUUGUUUUUAUAGUCUCAAACAUUUUGUAGGCUGCGGCUUGUCCAGCCGCGAAAGCGUUAAGAGAAGGUAAUGUCUGCCCCAACGACCUGAGAAUGUGUAAGAAAAUUAAGAUUUUCAGUAUCACAAAAAAAAAUUAUGAGAACAUGUAAUCGUUAUACUCACAUUCCUCCACCCAAAAUUGCGAAAAUAACGUUCAUGACUUGACCUCCAGUAUAUCCUUUCUCCAUUAUCAGCCAAGCACCGUACCAAAUGGCAAUACCAUAUGUACAAUAACUUACAACCAUCAUUAUUCCAAGGCCUAGACCCGAGAAGAGCCCUUGUUGAACCAUAGAUUUAUAGGCAAUCUCGACCUUCUUCUCGUGUUUUUGGGUUGCUUGUUUCUCUCGGGUGAAUGCCACGACCUGACAAAACAUCAAAAAUUUGUGAUAUGAAUCUAUGUGAUUAUCUAGAAAAAAAAAGAAUUUCGGACUGCGCGAGAACUUACUGUUCUAAUCGACCCAACAGCUUGUUCUAUUACAUUUCCAGCUUCCGCAUAAGCGUGUAGGCCACGACCAACCAUUUUGGACAUGAUCAAGGCCAUUGCACCACCAGUGGCCACGAUCAAUGGAAUGCAUGGAAUAAGAGCUACUGUGAGGCGUCUGCCAAUUAUACAAGCGACUGUGAAUCCACCAAAGAAUGUUGAUAUUAACGGUACAAAUUUCCCAACCUGAAAAUUUUGAAAUCAUAGAAAAAAAAAAGAAUAUUCACUAACUUGUAUCGCAAGAAACAGCCGAUUAAUAUAAAAAAAAUUAAAGAAAACCUUUUCUCCCAUUGUAAGAAUGGUGUCCCCGGACAUUUUUUUGAUAACUCUGGUAUCUGGGCAGCCACAUUACCAACUAUCCCCCGUAGAGGGUCCAGCGCCCCAACGGAAGGGAUGUUAAAUCCGGGGAUGUUAAAUCCGCUGUGGCCGGGGCUCGAACUCGUGAUGGCGGGCACCUCAGCCGAGGUUCCUAUACCACCAGACCACGAGGCCCGGUUAAAACUGUAUAGGUUGAACUUUUUAUAGUGACUGGACUCACCCCGAAGGGCCACCUCGCCAGAAACCGUACAUUCUGCCGAUGAUUUCACCGGUGCUUGUCUCGGUGUCAAAAAAGCCAAUAUCUUGUCUUAAUAUUGUUUUGAGGUAUAGCACUCGAAUUCUGGCGGACUGACGCUCCCCAGUUACCUUCCAACAUGAGACCUCUGCGAAAGAACGAAAAGGCUUUGUGAACAAGUUAGGUCGAGCUAAAUGUGAAGAAGGAAAACAGAGUUUCGACUUACGCAGAAAAGACACAACGCACGCGUAGACUGCAAGGUAAAGAAACUUCAAAGCAACCUGAGAUUAAUUAAUUGAGAUCAUUCUAUAUUAACAGCAAGCAAUUGAGAUUUAAAUUUACAAUUCGUGCAUAUGAGAAAAUUCAAAUUUUAGUUUUCCAUUUUGUACUCAAGACGCAAAUGAGGAAGUAAAUUUUCAUUUCAAUUCAAGAAAGUAGAAAAGAGGAACAAAGUAAAACGAAACUAUAAAUUGUUUCCAGUUGUCGCACAAAAAAAAAAAAUGUUUCCAGUUAAUAAUAAUCACAUUAAAGAACUAUUGAACCUUUUCAUGCAUAUGCACCAAAUUUUAUAAGGUAUAUGCACCAAAUUUUAUAUUUCUGUGAAGAAAAUUUAAAAUAGUGUAAAAUUGAGAAAAAAAAAGAAUAUCUCUUUACAAUUUAAGAAUUAAAGAUCAAAGUAGAAGAAAAACAUUUGGUCAAUAAACCUUGGUCAAUCUGACGAUUUAUGUAAUAAACGUAACAUAUAAAGUCUUUUGGAUUUUUCCCCUUUAAGAAAUAAAACCAAAAAAUACAUCUAAAUAUUAUAACAAUAAUAAUAAUCUUAACCAGACAUCAAUUUUUUUUUACAAAAAAAAAAAAAUCAGUUUUGUUGUGAAGGACAACUCCUUUCAUUUUAAAUUUAUGUUAUGCUGUUUCCUCUUUUCUGUGUAAAAGGACCAGCUAAAACUACAAUUAGGAAAAAUCAAAAUCCAUACAGUGAAAUCCUCAAAAACCCUUGAACUGAUAUCAGUAAUAACAACUACAAAAUGUCAUAAAUCAUUUGAGUUCCUAACCUUGGAGACUUCUUUAACCAUGUGAUCGUGAUCAGAGAAGCCAAAGACGUUAAUGAUUUUGCCUAUGAGUACUGACAUAAUCGGCUGAGCUAGGCCGUUGGCCAUGGCGGAGAUAGUCCCAACAGCCAUUAAAAUGAUGUCGUAUCGAUCUGCAAACGUUAAAAGCUUGUAAAACGCUACUUUCUGAUUGCCUCCGUCUCCAUUCGUGAUCCUCUUCGCUUUCUCCUCCAUUGGUUUCUUAAGGGGGAUAAAAAAAGAGAAUUUAACCCAAAAGAAAAACUAUUGGAAUUAUACGAGUCAGAUGUCACUCUUUGGACUUUAUAAACUCGGUUCAUCUGGCCGGUUACAAUGAGUGAGAGCAAAAGGAACAAAAUUCAACAUUGCCUUCUCAAGGUACUUUGUCCAUUUAAGUUGUAUUUAUUCAAAUGCUUUUGAAUCCUUUGGACUUUGGUAGUCCUUAUAAUUUAUUCUAUCCUUUUUUGCAUGAUCUACUUUUUCGUUUUAUUUUACAAGGCAUGAUCUAACUCCUUAUAAUGAAUUGUCUCAUAUGUACAUUACGAUUGCCAUUUUUUUUUUUUUGUAAACUUUAACUACGACUGCCAUUAUUACAUGGUAAAUCUACCUUCCUUUGAAAAUCAUGCAUUAGACCUUGGGCUAAAUCUCAUCAAAAACGGGUUAUAGACUUAUAGUUUCUUUUGCUUUAGGCAGCCCAAUACAUAUGAUCUGAUAAAUGAUGACCGCUAAUCCCAACUGAAAGAAAAAGCUAAACGGUAUAGUUACGCCAGCUUUAAACAAAGAAAUGAAGGACUCGGUAUUGAAGUUAAACUUGAUUUUGGGUUAUGCUUAAUUAUGGACCAAUAAACUUUUAUUGGACUAAACCCAAAAUUAAACUUAAAUUCUAGAAUCUUUUUAGAAUUAUCAUCACCUCCUCAAAUAGAAAAAUAUCUAGAUAUUGUAGUAGAAAAAUCUAGAGAAUAAAGAAAAAUCUAGGAAGUAAGGAAGUUGUAAUAGAACCAUCUAGAUAUUUGUAAUAGAGUUUAGGAGGCUAUAAAUACCUCUUCAUCCUCUCAUUUGUAAAAACAUAAGAAGUUGAACAAGUAAAGUAUAAGAAAUUUUUCUUAAAUAAAGAGUGUUCUACUCAAAGUUCUCUAAAUCUCUUUAAGAGUUCUUCCAUAUUAUUCUUCAUACUUGGAAGUUUUCUUGUUUCUUUUGGGUUCUCGGGUAUUACGGUCUUGGGCUAGUGCUAAGCACUAUCAAGAGUGGUUUCUUUACAUGGUAUCAGAGCCAAGCUAAUCUUGUGCUCAUCAAGAUCGGUUUUUAAAGAGAGCUAGAGUAUAUUCUAAGUAUGGAAUCAACGGGUCGUGUUGUUGGAUUGAGAAUGGAAAUCUUAAACCAAUCUAACUACCGGUUAUGGAAGUCAUGCAUGGAGUCAUACCUGGUGAGUGAGGACUUAUGGGAUGUCGUCGGUGGUAACAACACAACACCACCAAGGGGAAAUGCUGCAACCCCGGAAGCGACAAAGGAGUGGACACGGAAGAAUGCCAAGGCGGAGUUUGCUUUGAAGAGGUCCAUAUCUUCAAGCAUAUUUGAGCAUGUCUCAAGGUGUACUUCCGCUAGUUCCAUUUGGCAAGCUUUAGAUCAAUUGUUCAACAAGAAGAAUGAGGCUAAACUACAAUUAUUAGAGAAUGAGCUUGCGAAUGCGAAGCAGGGGGAGUCUUCAAUCUCGGAGUUUUUUUAUCAAGGUAAAGAACCUAUGCUCCGAGAUUAAUACUCUAAAUCCGGAGGAGUCAAUUUCUGAAGCACGGUUGAAGCGGUCUAUCAUUCGAGGUCUACGGCCUGAAUAUACACCGUUUGUGACUUCGGUUCAAGGAUGGGCUACACAACCUUCCUUGGAAGAGUUUGAAAAUUUGCUAGCUUCGCAAGAGUCAUUAGCCAUGCAAAUGUCAGGAGUCAAAAUCAAUGAUGACUCGGGAAGCGCCUUUGUAGCUCGGAGACAACAAAGCUUCAAGGCGAAAAACAAAGAUGGAGGUUCAAGACACAAUGAUGGAAGUGAAGGAUCUUCUAUGGAUAAGAAAAAGUUCAAGUGCUAUCGGUGUGGAAAGCUUGGGCAUUUCAAAAGGGAUUGUCGAGUCAAGUUGAAGGAAACAAAUAUGGUGUAGUCAAAAAGUCAUACGGAAGACGAAGAAUUGGGGGAAAUGUUUCACGGUGGAGGCUACACAUCCAGGUACACCCACAACUAAAAACUUGAGAAAUGAUUGGAUUGUAGACUCGGGUUGUAGCCAUCAUAUUACCGGAGAUGAGAAGUUAUUUUCUAGUCUUCAACGUCAUGACGGGAAAGAAGCCAUUAUUACCGCUGAUAAUUCAAUCCAUCGAGUUGAGAAAGAAGGGACUGUUGUCAUUAAAGGAGAUGAUGAGGAACCGAUCACCCUCAAGAAUGUGUACCAUGUCCCUGGAGUAAAGAAGAAUCUCCUUUCGGUGGUGAAUGCGGUCGACUCAAGUAACUAUGUUCUAUUUGGCCCAAGAGACGUUAAGUUCUUAAGGAAUAUUAAAGAAUUAAAGGCGGAUGUUGUUCACACUGGAGCACGCGUCAAAGAUUUAUAUGUUUUAUCGGCCUCACACGCCUAUGUGGAGAAGAUGAGUACGAAUGACAAUGCUUCCAUCUGGCAUGCUAGACUUGGCCAUAUAAAUAUGACCAAGCUUAAGGUCAUGGUGAAUAAAGAUUUUGUUCAUGGGCUUCCAAAAUUGAAGAUUCAAGAUGGAGGAAAGAUUUGUGAAGGUUGUCAAUAUGGAAAGUCACAUAGACUUCCAUUUGAUCAUUCAACCUCAAGGUGCAACGGUCUAUUGGAGAAGGUCCAUAGUGAUUUGAUGGGUCCAACAAGAACAUCCUCCUAUUCCGGGUUUCGCUACAUGUUGCUGUUCAUAGAUGAUUUCUCACGGUACACCUGGGUAUACUUUGUGAAGAAAAAAUCAGAAGUAUUUCAAAGAUUUCAAGAAUUCAAGGUUACCGUGGAAGGAGAGUUUGGCCGGAAGCUAAAGACUCUAAGGACGGAUAAUGGAGGAGAAUUCAUGUCAAAGGAGUUUCUCUCUUUUUGCCAAAAGAAUGGUAUUAAGAGAGAAUAUACAUGUCCGUAUACACCUCAACAAAAUGGAGUAGCAGAAAGAAAAAUUAGACAUCUAACUGAGACGUGCAGAAGUUGGCUACAUGAUAAGAAUUUGCCAAAGGCCUUAUGGGCAGAAGGCAUGAGAUGCGCAGCCUAUGUCAUCAACCGGAUGCCACUCAGUCCAAACAACAUGAAGUCGCCUUACGAGAUGAUUCACGGGAAGAAGCCGACGGUGAAGCAUCUAAGGAUAUUUGGAUCGGUCUGCUACGUUCAUGUGUUCGACUCCCAAAGAACAAAGUUGGAAGCAAAGGCAAAGAAGUGCAUCUUUGUCGGUUACGAUGAACAACGAAAGGGCUGGAGGUGUAUGGAUCCAGAGACACAUAAAUACACAGUGUCUCGUGAUGUUGUCUUUGACGAAGUUUCAUCCUACUAUGGACCACAUCAAGUCUUAGAUGAGCAUGAUGGUUCAUGUUCCUCCAAGACUGAUGAACAAAUUAUUCAAGUUCCAAGUAGUAAUGAAAGCUUUGAAAAGGAGACUCAAGGUGAAAGGGGGAGCAUUGACCAAGAUGAAGAAGAGGAGCAUGAUCAUGGUUCUAUCGCCAAUCAACGACCAAAAAGGAACAUUGUCAAACCCGCUCGGUUCAGAGAUGAAAGGUUCGUCACCACUUACUCUUGUUACUUUGCAGCUCCUUUCGAUGAAGAUGAACCAUCAUCUUAUGAAGAAGCAAAAGGAGUUGAAGAAUGGAUGAUCGCAAUGAAGGAAGAGAUUGAUGCUCUCAUGAAAAAUGAAACAUGGGAUUUGGUUCCGAAACCAAAGGAUGCUAAACCUGUUUCUUGUAAAUGGGUGUAUCGACUAAAGAGAAAGGCGGAUGGGAGCAUCGAUAGAUACAAAGCAAGGUUGGUUGCUCGAGGAUUCUCUCAGAAGUACGGAGAAGAUUAUGAUGAGACCUUCAGUCCAGUAGCAAAGAUGACUACGGUACGCUCACUCUUAUCACUAGCUGCAAGCUUUAGAUGGAAACUAUGGCAGUUAGAUGUGAAGAAUGCUUUUCUCUAUGGUGAGAUUGAUAAGGAAAUUUUUAUGGAGCAACCACCUGGUUUUGAGUCACAAGAGUAUCCUAACCAUGUAUGCAAGCUAAAGAAAGCCUUGUAUGGGUUAAAACAAGCUCCACGGGCUUGGUAUGGAAAGCUUGCUCAAUUUCUUCAGUUUUGCGGGUAUAUGGCAUCAAGUGCUGAUUCAAGCCUAUUCUUCAAGAGAAGUGGAAGAGUUCAUGUAGUAGUUCUCCUCUACGUGGAUGAUAUGAUCAUUACUGGAAAUGACGAUGCUGAAAUUGCUCGUCUACAAGAGGAUAUGUCGGUGAGGUUUGAGAUGAAGAAGUUAGGUGAGCUGAAUCACUUUCUUGGUCUAGAGGUCGAGAGGGUAAAGGAUGGAAUAUUCAUCGGCCAACAAGGUUAUGCGAAAAGGAUUGUUGACAGGUUUGGAGUACACCAAGGAAAGGUACGUUCCACUCCACUAGAUACUAACAUAAGGCUCAAACGCGAUGAAGGAUCAUUGUUAGCCAAUCCUCGACCUUAUCGCUCUCUUGUUGGAAGUCUUCUAUACUUAACCAUUACAAGACCAGAUAUUGCCUUUGCGGUUGGCCUUGUAAGCCGGUUCAUGCAGGAACCAAGGAAGCCACAUCUAGAAGCGGCAAAGAAGAUAUUAAAAUAUGUGAAGACAACUCUUGGCAUGGGACUGAUGUACAAGUAUAAUGCCAAGGUUUCUCUUCAUGGUUUCACAGAUGCUGACUUUGGUGGAGAUUUAGAUGAUCGAAAAUCAACUUCGGGUUUUGUGUUCUUAUGUGGAGACACAAGCAUUUCAUGGUGCAGUAAGAAGCAAGCAACGGUGUCAUUGUCUACUACCGAAGCAGAGUAUAAAGCUUCAACACUCGCAGCCCAAGAAUGUAUAUGGCUUCGAAGACUCCUUGAAGACUUGUUCAAACCAAUCAAUAAAUCGAUUACCAUCUAUGGAGAUAACCAAAGUGCUAUCAAGCUGGCCAAUAAUCCAGUGUUCCAUGGAAGAACAAAGCACAUUGAAUUGGAACAUCAUUUCAUAAGAGAGAAGGUGCUUGAUGGAACAAUUGAAGCAUUGGAGGUUCGAAGCGAGGACAACAUUGCUGAUAUCUUCACCAAGUCAUUACCUAAAGGUCAGUUCGAGAUACUCCGCUCCAAGCUCGGAAUGGUGGACAAAAUCAAGUUUAAGGGGGAGUAUUGAAGUUAAACUUGAUUUUGGGCUAUGCUUAAUUAUGGACCAAUAAACUCUUAUUGGACUAAACCCAAAAUUAAGCUUAAAUUCUAGAAUCUUUCUAGAAUUAUCAUCACCUCCUCAAAUAGAAAAAUAUCUAGAUAUUGUAGUAGAAAAAUCUAGAGAAUAAAGAAAAAUCUAGGAAGUAAGGAGGUUGUAAUAGAACCAUCUAGAUAUUUUUAAUAGAGUUUAGGAGGCUAUAAAUACCUCUUCAUCCUCUCAUUUGUAACAACACAAGAAGUUGAACAAGUAAAGUAUAAGAAAGUUUUCUUAAAGAAAGAGUGUUCUACUCAAAGUUCUCUAAAUCUCUUUGAGAGUUCUUCCAUAUUAUUCUUCAUACUUGGAAGUUUUCUUGUUUCUUUCGGGUUCUCGGGUAUUACGGUCUUGGGCUAGUGCUAAGCACUAUCAAGGGUGGUUUCUUUACAUGGUAUCAGAGCCAAGCUAAUCUUGUGCUCAUCAAGAUCGGUUUUUAAAGAGAGCUCGGGUCUAUUCUAAGUAUGGAAUCAACGGGUCGUGUUGUUGGAUUGGGAAUGGAAAUCCUAAACCAAUCUAACUACCGGUUAUGGAAGUCAUGCAUGGAGUCAUACCUGGUGAGUGAGGACUUAUGGGAUGUCGUCGGUGGUAACAACACAACACCACCAAGGGGAAAUGCUGCAACCCCGGAAGCGACAAAGGAGUGGACACGGAAGAAUGCCAAGGCGGAGUUUGCUUUGAAGAGGUCCAUAUCUUCAAGCAUAUUUGAGCAUGUCUCAAGGUGUACUUCCGCUAGUUCCAUUUGGCAAGCUUUAGAUCAAUUGUUCAACAAGAAGAAUGAGGCUAAACUACAAUUAUUAGAGAAUGAGCUUGCGAAUGCGAAGCAGGGGGAGUCUUCAAUCUCGGAGUUUUUUAUCAAGGUAAAGAACCUAUGCUCUGAGAUUAAUACUCUAAAUCCGGAGGAGUCAAUUUCUGAAGCACGGUUGAAGCGGUCUAUCAUUCGAGGUCUACGGCCUGAAUAUACACCGUUUGUGACUUCGGUUCAAGGAUGGGCUACACAACCUUCCUUGGAAGAGUUUGAAAAUUUGCUAGCUUCGCAAGAGUCAUUAGCCAUGCAAAUGUCAGGAGUCAAAAUCAAUGAUGACUCGGGAAGCGCCUUUGUAGCUCGGAGACAACAAAGCUUCAAGGCGAAAAACAAAGAUGGAGGUUCAAGACACAAUGAUGGAAGUGAAGGAUCUUCUAUGGAUAAGAAAAAGUUCAAGUGCUAUCGGUGUGGAAAGCUUGGGCAUUUCAAAAGGGAUUGUCGAGUCAAGUUGAAGGAAACAAAUAUGGUGGAGUCAAAAAGUCAUACGGAAGAUGAAGAAUGGGGGAAAUGUUUCACGGUGGAGGCUACACAUCCAGGUACACCCACAACUAAAAACUUGAGAAAUGAUUGGAUUGUAGACUCGGGUUGUAGCCAUCAUAUUACCGGAGAUGAGAAGUUAUUUUCUAGUCUUCAACGUCAUGACGGGAAAGAAGCCAUUAUUACCGCUGAUAAUUCAAUCCAUCGAGUUGAGAAAGAAGGGACUGUUGUCAUUAAAGGAGAUGAUGAAGAAUCGAUCACCCUCAAGAAUGUGUACCAUGUCCCUGGAGCCUAGCUGCAAGCUUUAGAUGGAAACUAUGGCAGUUAGAUGUGAAGAAUGGUUUUCUCUAUGGUGAGAUUUAUAAGGAAAUUUUUAUGGAGCAACCACCUGGUUUUGAGUCACAAGAGUAUCCUAACCAUGUAUGCAAGCUAAAGAAAGCCUUGUAUGGGUUAAAACAAGCUCCACGGGCUUGGUAUGGAAAGCUUGCUCAAUUUCUUCAGUUUUGCGGGUAUAUGGCAUCAAGUGCUGAUUCAAGCCUAUUCUUCAAGAGAAGUGGAAGAGUUCAUGUAGUAGUUCUCCUCUACGUGGAUGAUAUGAUCAUUACUAGAAAUGACGAUGCUGAAAUUGCUCGUCUACAAGAGGAUAUGUCGGUGAGGUUUGAGAUGAAGCCAAAAUUGAAGAUUCAAGAUGGAGGAAAAAUUUGUGAAGGUUGUCAAUAUGGAAAGUCACAUAGACUUCCAUUUGAUCAUUCAACCUCAAGGUGCAACGGUCUAUUGGAGAAGGUCCAUAGUGAUUUGAUGGGUCCAACAAGAACAUCCUCCUAUUCCGGGUUUCGCUACAUGUUGCUGUUCAUAGAUGAUUUCUCACGGUACACCUGGGUAUACUUUGUGAAGGAAAAAUCAGAAGUAUUUCAAAGAUUUCAAGAAUUCAAGGUUACCGUGGAAGGAGAGUUUGGCCGGAAGCUAAAGACUCUAAGGACGGAUAAUGGAGGAGAAUUCAUGUCAAAGGAGUUUCUCUCUUUUUGCCAAAAGAAUGGUAUUAAGAGAGAAUAUACAUGUCCGUAUACACCUCAACAAAAUGGAGUAGCAGAAAGAAAAAUUAGACAUCUAACUGAGACGUGCAGAAGUUGGCUACAUGAUAAGAAUUUGCCAAAGGCCUUAUGGGCAGAAGGCAUGAGAUGCGCAGCCUAUGUCAUCAACCGGAUGCCACUCAGUCCAAACAACAUGAAGUCGCCUUACGAGAUGAUUCACGGGAAGAAGCCGACGGUGAAGCAUCUAAGGAUAUUUGGAUCGGUCUGCUACGUUCAUGUGUUCGACUCCCAAAGAACAAAGUUGGAAGCAAAGGCAAAGAAGUGCAUCUUUGUCGGUUACGAUGAACAACGAAAGGGCUGGAGGUGUAUGGAUCCAGAGACACAUAAAUACACAGUGUCUCGUGAUGUUGUCUUUGACGAAGUUUCAUCCUACUAUGGACCACAUCAAGUCUUAGAUGAGCAUGAUGGUUCAUGUUCCUCCAAGACUGAUGAACAAAUUAUUCAAGUUCCAAGUAGUAAUGAAAGCUUUGAAAAGGAGACUCAAGGUGAAAGGGGGAGCAUUGACCAAGAUGAAGAAGAGGAGCAUGAUCAUGGUUCUAUCGCCAAUCAACGACCAAAAAGGAACAUUGUCAAACCCGCUCGGUUCAGAGAUGAAAGGUUCGUCACCACUUACUCUUGUUACUUUGCAGCUCCUUUCGAUGAAGAUGAACCAUCAUCUUAUGAAGAAGCAAAAGGAGUUGAAGAAUGGAUGAUCGCAAUGAAGGAAGAGAUUGAUGCUCUCAUGAAAAAUGAAACAUGGGAUUUGGUUCCGAAACCAAAGGAUGCUAAACCUGUUUCUUGUAAAUGGGUGUAUCGACUAAAGAGAAAGGCGGAUGGGAGCAUCGAUAGAUACAAAGCAAGGUUGGUUGCUCGAGGAUUCUCUCAGAAGUACGGAGAAGAUUAUGAUGAGACCUUCAGUCCAGUAGCAAAGAUGACUACGGUACGCUCACUCUUAUCACUAGCUGCAAGCUUUAGAUGGAAACUAUGGCAGUUAGAUGUGAAGAAUGCUUUUCUCUAUGGUGAGAUUGAUAAGGAAAUUUUUAUGGAGCAACCACCUGGUUUUGAGUCACAAGAGUAUCCUAACCAUGUAUGCAAGCUAAAGAAAGCCUUGUAUGGGUUAAAACAAGCUCCACGGGCUUGGUAUGGAAAGCUUGCUCAAUUUCUUCAGUUUUGCGGGUAUAUGGCAUCAAGUGCUGAUUCAAGCCUAUUCUUCAAGAGAAGUGGAAGAGUUCAUGUAGUAGUUCUCCUCUACGUGGAUGAUAUGAUCAUUACUGGAAAUGACGAUGCUGAAAUUGCUCGUCUACAAGAGGAUAUGUCGGUGAGGUUUGAGAUGAAGAAGUUAGGUGAGCUGAAUCACUUUCUUGGUCUAGAGGUCGAGAGGGUAAAGGAUGGAAUAUUCAUCGGCCAACAAGGUUAUGCGAAAAGGAUUGUUGACAGGUUUGGAGUACACCAAGGAAAGGUACGUUCCACUCCACUAGAUACUAACAUAAGGCUCAAACGCGAUGAAGGAUCAUUGUUAGCCAAUCCUCGACCUUAUCGCUCUCUUGUUGGAAGUCUUCUAUACUUAACCAUUACAAGACCAGAUAUUGCCUUUGCGGUUGGCCUUGUAAGCCGGUUCAUGCAGGAACCAAGGAAGCCACAUCUAGAAGCGGCAAAGAAGAUAUUAAAAUAUGUGAAGACAACUCUUGGCAUGGGACUGAUGUACAAGUAUAAUGCCAAGGUUUCUCUUCAUGGUUUCACAGAUGCUGACUUUGGUGGAGAUUUAGAUGAUCGAAAAUCAACUUUGGGUUUUGUGUUCUUAUGUGGAGACACAAGCAUUUCAUGGUGCAGUAAGAAGCAAGCAACGGUGUCAUUGUCUACUACCGAAGCAGAGUAUAAAGCUUCAACACUCGCAGCCCAAGAAUGUAUAUGGCUUCGAAGACUCCUUGAAGACUUGUUCAAACCAAUCAAUAAAUCGAUUACCAUCUAUGGAGAUAACCAAAGUGCUAUCAAGCUGGCCAAUAAUCCAGUGUUCCAUGGAAGAACAAAGCACAUUGAAUUGGAACAUCAUUUCAUAAGAGAGAAGGUGCUUGAUGGAACAAUUGAAGCAUUGGAGGUUCGAAGCGAGGACAACAUUGCUGAUAUCUUCACCAAGUCAUUACCUAAAGGUCAGUUCGAGAUACUCCGCUCCAAGCUCGGAAUGGUGGAAAAAAUCAAGUUUAAGGGGGAGUAUUGAAGUUAAACUUGAUUUUGGGCUAUGCUUAAUUAUGGACCAAUAAACUCUUAUUGGACUAAACCCAAAAUUAAGCUUAAAUUCUAGAAUCUUUCUAGAAUUAUCAUCACCUCCUCAAAUAGAAAAAUAUCUAGAUAUUGUAGUAGAAAAAUCUAGAGAAUAAAGAAAAAUCUAGGAAGUAAGGAGGUUGUAAUAGAACCAUCUAGAUAUUUUUAAUAGAGUUUAGGAGGCUAUAAAUACCUCCUCAUCCUCUCAUUUGUAAAAACACAAGAAGUUGAACAAGUAAAGUAUAAGAAAGUUUUCUUAAAGAAAGAGUGUUCUGCUCAAAGUUCUCUAAAUCUCUUUGAGAGUUCUUCCAUAUUAUUCUUCAUACUUGGAAGUUUUCUUGUUUCUUUCGGNNNNNNNNNNNNNNNNNNNNNNNNNNNNNNNNNNNNNNNNNNNNNNNNNNNNNNNNNNNNNNNNNNNNNNNNNNNNNNNNNNNNNNNNNNNNNNNNNNNNNNNNNNNNNNNNNNNNNNNNNNNNNNNNNNNNNNNNNNNNNNNNNNNNNNNNNNNNNNNNNNNNNNNNNNNNNNNNNNNNNNNNNNNNNNNNNNNNNNNNNNNNNNNNNNNNNNNNNNNNNNNNNNNNNNNNNNNNNNNNNNNNNNNNNNNNNNNNNNNNNNNNNNNNNNNNNNNNNNNNNNNNNNNNNNNNNNNNNNNNNNNNNNNNNNNNNNNNNNNNNNNNNNNNNNNNNNNNNNNNNNNNNNNNNNNNNNNNNNNNNNNNNNNNNNNNNNNNNNNNNNNNNNNNNNNNNNNNNNNNNNNNNNNNNNNNNNNNNNNNNNNNNNNNNNNNACCAAGGAAAGGUACGUUCCACUCCACUAGAUACUAACAUAAGGCUCAAACGCGAUGAAGGAUCAUUGUUAGCCAAUCCUCGACCUUAUCGCUCUCUUGUUGGAAGUCUUCUAUACUUAACCAUUACAAGACCAGAUAUUGCCUUUGCGGUUGGCCUUGUAAGCCGGUUCAUGCAGGAACCAAGGAAGCCACAUCUAGAAGCGGCAAAGAAGAUAUUAAAAUAUGUGAAGACAACUCUUGGCAUGGGACUGAUGUACAAGUAUAAUGCCAAGGUUUCUCUUCAUGGUUUCACAGAUGCUGACUUUGGUGGAGAUUUAGAUGAUCGAAAAUCAACUUCGGGUUUUGUGUUCUUAUGUGGAGACACAAGCAUUUCAUGGUGCAGUAAGAAGCAAGCAACGGUGUCAUUGUCUACUACCGAAGCAGAGUAUAAAGCUUCAACACUCGCAGCCCAAGAAUGUAUAUGGCUUCGAAGACUCCUUGAAGACUUGUUCAAACCAAUCAAUAAAUCGAUUACCAUCUAUGGAGAUAACCAAAGUGCUAUCAAGCUGGCCAAUAAUCCAGUGUUCCAUGGAAGAACAAAGCACAUUGAAUUGGAACAUCAUUUCAUAAGAGAGAAGGUGCUUGAUGGAACAAUUGAAGCAUUGGAGGUUCGAAGCGAGGACAACAUUGCUGAUAUCUUCACCAAGUCAUUACCUAAAGGUCAGUUCGAGAUACUCCGCUCCAAGCUCGGAAUGGUGGACAAAAUCAAGUUUAAGGGGGAGUAUUGAAGUUAAACUUGAUUUUGGGCUAUGCUUAAUUAUGGACCAAUAAACUCUUAUUGGACUAAACCCAAAAUUAAGCUUAAAUUCUAGAAUCUUUCUAGAAUUAUCAUCACCUCCUCAAAUAGAAAAAUAUCUAGAUAUUGUAGUAGAAAAAUCUAGAGAAUAAAGAAAAAUCUAGGAAGUAAGGAGGUUGUAAUAGAACCAUCUAGAUAUUUGUAAUAGAGUUUAGGAGGCUAUAAAUACCUCUUCAUCCUCUCAUUUGUAACAACACAAGAAGUUGAACAAGUAAAGUAGAAGAAAGUUUUCUUAAAAAAAGGGUGUUCUACUCAAAGUUCUCUAAAUCUUUUUGAGAGUUCUUCCAUAUUAUUCUUCAUACUUGGAAGUUUUCUUGUUUCUUUCGGGUUCUCGGGUAUUACGGUCUUGGGCUAGUGCUAAGCACUAUCAAGAGUGGUUUCUUUACACUGAGGAGACCGAUGGAUUGGAGAACAUAUACCCAGCUAACAGAGUUAGAAUAAUUUGCACGAUUUUUUUUUGUCAACAAUAAUUUGCACUAUCUAUUGUGGGCAUUAUUGGUUUUGGUACUAAUGCUUUGUAUGAAAUGAGUUACAUGUACCCAAUCAACUGUUAUAUGUAUCGUUCAUAUGUUGCUUUAUAAAACAAUCGUUAACAUGCUAGAUUAGUUUAAAAAAAUCCAUACAUACAUCUAACAAAUACGUUAUAUACUUAUACCAUACUGGCAAUAUUGUUAUACAACAUAGUCAUCGCUAAAAUAUUUUCAUUCUUUGAAAAAAAAAAAUUGGGAAUAUCCCAAACCUAUAAAAAGACCUAAACUAAUUUUCAGAGGAACGUCGCGGUCCACGAACGGAUUCACACUCCAAAUUUUCAAAUGAAACCUAAAACAUGGUUUCAUGUCCAUGUGGUUAAUUACAAAUUUAAGCGUAGUGGGAUGCUUUCAAACAGUCUCCAGACUAUUGCAGCCCAUCUUAUGAUCCAACAAGAAGUCUUAAUGAGCAUGUAACUAGGGUUUCUUAACUAUGUAUAUGUCCUUAGAUGUGUUGAUGAAUGUAACCUUGGCUGCCAUAAUUGAAGCCUCUUUCAAUCUCAUUUAUAAAUCAAAUACAAUUUUGUUUAUCUUGGUGACAAACUUAAAGCUCUUUCCUUUAGUUUCUUUGUUUAUGAAUAAAGCUUUACAAGCUAUUUCUAUCUUUCAGUAAAGCUCUUAUGAGCUCAAUCUUUCUAGUUUCAUAAAUGUUAUCAUGGUAUUAGAGCUUCAGUCGGUUCAUGGGUAUUCUUCUUCUUUCAGAACUUCUGCUAAACUUAUCAAGUCAGCUUCGUUGCCACUUUCAAUGGAGUUUGGUUCCUGAACUCGAAAUCCAAAGAAAGGAGGAGAUUUUUAUCCGUUUUUCAAGCUCUCCUUCCUCACAUACGGUUCAUGGGAUUGUUCUGUUCAUCUUCAAGCCUUAGUUUACUCUGUCUGAGCAACUCCAGUCCUGUUUUUGAAGUCUUUUUGGCAGUGACGAAGUCAGAGAAGAGACACGCUUUGGUAAAGAAAAGUUGGUGUAUUGGUGAGGCUGGCCAAGCUGUUUGAAGAGGAUAAUGACUUUUCAAACAGAACUAGUGAUUUCUCCAAGUCACAUGUCAUGUUUCUUCUCAUGAUGGAUAGGAAAUAGAGAGUUCAGGUUUAGGCUGUUGUAGGAUGGAUUUCUCUUUGGUUGUGAAAUAGCUUAGUCCAAUUAGGAGGAUAACAAAAAAAUCCCCAAUUUGUUGUGAGACAAAUAGGUCAAAAGAACCUGAAGAUGUUCUCAUACUUAUGUCGACUCUCCAAGCUGAAUAGUCAUCUACCUACUUUCUAUAGACCUUCAACUACUUAUGCUCCUUUCAAAGCCAGCUCUAUCUGCAUCUUCAAAGUUAGAUCAUCUGCUUGAUUCACCACCAGAUGCCAAGUUUACGGGAGGAAAUUGAAGCCCACACUGAAGCCCAUCUUAUGAUACAACAAGAAGUCUUAAUGAGCAUGUAACUAGGGUUUCUUAGCUAUAUAUAUGUCGUUAGAUGUGUUGAUGAAUGUAACUUUGGCUGCCAUAUUUGCAGCCUCUUUCAAUCUCAUUUUAUGAAUCAAUUACAAUCUUGUUUAUCUUGGUGACAAUCUAAAGUUCUUUCCUUUAAUUUCUUUGUUUAAGAAUAAAGCUUUAUAAGCUAUUUCUAUCUUUCAAUAAAGCUCUUAUGAACUCAUUUUUUCUAGUUUCAUAAAUGUAAUCAUAGACUACCACCUCGUGAUUUUUAAAGUCAUUUUUUAUACAUCAAUAUUUAAGCCUCGCAAAAUAAAAUGUGUGAAUAAGAAUGAUCAUGCAGCUCUACGGUAAACAAAAUGCUAUGAAUUGUAGGUAAAAUAUGUUUACACCCUUAUGGGCAUACUUAGCAUCGCCAAAAGACAUUUUAUAACUUUUUUUUUUGCAUUUUAGUCCUUACAAUUAUAUAUCACAUUUAUGAUUCUUAAAUAUUUUGUCGUUAUCGUUUUAAUCCUUAUAAAAUCCACACUCACAAAUGUUUCAAAUUUGUUUUUGUAAAUUUAACUUCUACACAUAAAAUUAAAUAAACCUUUAAAAGAUUUAAAAUAUUUUAAAACUGGAUUUACACAACAACAAUAUUACAAAAAAAACUUAUCAAAUUCACUAGUUGAUCAUAUAUGAGAGUAUUACGAAAAUAGUUUUAUGGAAUAGUGUGAUAUUUUAUUUGUAAUUUAGUAUUAGUUAUGUAGUACUCGCAAACUUGAAAAUGGAAUAUCUUUUUGAGAUGUUCUUACAAUAUCAAAGUAGCACAAAUGAGAGAGAAGAGAGAUAUUGCAAAGUUAAAUUUAUGUUCUAUAUUUCUUAAAUAAGAUAUGAUACAACAAAAUAGUGUCUCAUUUGUAAGAUAAACUUGAAUUAUAUAAUAUGGUUGUAUAAUAUAAUAUAAAUUUAAAACUUAGUUUAUGCAAUAUAUUAUAAAAUUUAUAAAAAUAUAUAUCUGUUUUAUUUUAUUUUUAAAUGCUUUAUGUAAGAAAUAUAUAUAUUUAUAUAUAAAAUAUAAAACUGGAUAAUUUUUUUGAUUAUAAUUAACGAAAAAUAUAUUUUUAUGAUAAACAAAAAUACUACUACACAUAAGUAGAUACAGAGAUGUAGUGACCAUUAAUAUAUACUAGAUCCGUUCCACUAAUAUAGAUAUUUUAGAAAAAUAAUUUGGUUCAUAAAAAACAUGUUUACGUUUUGUAGAGGAAAAUUUUAAAAUUCAAAAAGAAAUUGAAUUUAUUGAAUUACUAUUGAUUAAAAGUUAUUAAAAAUUGAAUUAUAAAAGUAACAUUUAUAAUAAUGAUCUAAUGUGUUCUAUUAAUAUCUGUUAAAACACUAAAAAUAUAUAUGUUUAAAGAAUGAAAUAUCUUACACGAUAUAUUUUACCCACUUAGUAUAUUUUUAAAUAAUAUAAUUACAAAAGAUACAUUUAUAAUAGUGUUAUAAGAUAAACAUUGAAAAGUCGAUGAUUAUCCACUUCACCGACUUCAUUAGACCGACUUUUUAUAUUUUGUAUUUUCCCAAGUGCUAUAAAUACUACGUGAAAGUUCAAAACAGAAGGAUAAAUAGUAACAUUUCACUUUAUACUAGAAACAAAUAGAAAAUAUAUUAGUCUCUUUCAAAUAAAAUAAUAAAUACACAACUCUCUUUCUCCUUUUACGUUUCCAAACAACGAGAAAAUAUAAAGUGGUCUCAUUCACUAUCUCUCUAUUUUGUCAACAUCAUCCUUAAGCAAAUAUAAUAAAUAGAAAAUAUCAGUUCAGACUCACCUAGUUAUUCACAACACGUUAUCAGAACAAGCUCUAUAUACUAGUGAGAUUUAUCAAUCGGAAAAUUCUUAUACCAAUCGAGGUAAUGUUUAAAUUUAUGUCUUUAAUUUAAUUUAUUCAAAUUUUAUUAUUGUUCCGGAGUAAGAGGCUAGACCUUCUCCGUUUAUUUUUCGGGAUGAUAGGCGCUGCAUUUCCCGACUGAUCGUUAUGGUAGACUAUGCCUUCACGAUCAGAGAAGCACGUGGUAGACUUUGCCUCCGUGAAAAAAAAAGAAAAGCUCAAAAAUUGCAGACUAAGUCUCUUCGGGCCUUGAAUAAAAAGAAAACGUUAAUAUGGUAGACUAUGUCUCCUCAAACCUUGAUAAAAUGAUCAAUAUGGUAGUCUAUGACUUCUCGGAUCAUGUAGUAGGCUAAGCCUCCCGAUUUAAUAAUGCUAUUUAAAUUUCUGAAAUUUAAUUUAUGCAUUUACUUUUUGCUUUUAUUUUAUGCCUUUAAUUUCUGCAUUUAAAUUCUCAUCUUUACUAUAUUUAUAUAUUAUUCUAUGAAUAUAGUUAUCAUGUCCAAUUUGACAAAGCUCGAAAUAAAUGCCCUGUAUAUUACGGAAAAUAAUUAUAUAACCUGGGCAGUGGGUGCAAAGAUGCACCUGAGAGGAAACGGACUUUGGAAACCAUCGAUAGUUCGGAAACGGUGUCGGAUGAGAAAAAGGCAAAAGCCAUGAUAUUUUUACAUGAUGGUUUAAAAUAUGAAUAUAUUACGAAAGAGGAUCCUUGGGACCUCUGUAAAUCUUUAAAAGAGAGAUUCGAUCACCAGAAAUAUGUGAUCUUACCGAAAGCUAAACAUGAGUGGAUCCAUCUCCGGUUCCAGGAUUACAAAAGUGUUAGUGAGUAUAAUUCCGCGUUGUUCAGAAUUACAUCUAGGAUGAUGUUAUGUGGAGAGAAAAUAAGUGAUUAUGAUAUGAUCGAGAAAACCGUCUCCACGUUCAAUCCUGAAAAAAUGUAGUCAUGCAGUAAUAGUACCGGGUGAAUGGAUAUACCCGUUACUCGGAGUUGAUGCAUGUCCUCCUUGUGGCGGAGCAAAAUAAUCAACUCGUGACUUUAAACCAUCAAGCUCGUCUCACUGGAUCUGCUCCAUUCCCCGAACCGAAUGUUGCAUCAUCCAGUUAUGAUAAUUGGAGAGGACGAGGUUGUGGACAUGGUGGAAACCGUUAUCAUGGUCGUGGAAGAGGACGAGGAAGAAGAUUAUGUCCUUGUGAUGAAAGAAAUAAUACAAACUUCCACGAAAAUGAAAGGAAUGAAAGGGGCCGGGAUGAUAAGAGGCAAACAGAAAAGGUUUGCUACAAAUGCGGCAUGAAAGUUCAUUGGGUAUGUGGUUGUCGUACGCCAAAACAGUUAGCUGAUCUGUAUAGAGAAUCCCAAAAGGGAAAAGAAAAAGGAAGAGGUAAAACAAACUUCAUCUCUGGUGAAUGUGGGAACCGAAAUUCGCAUUGUCGAUUUCCUUUUAAAUAAGGAAAGUAGGAGAACCCUAAUUUCCCAGAGGUCUCGGAUAUCUGCUAAUACCACACGCCAAGCAAUCAGAACACGAAAUAAAGACGAUAAAAGAUAAGAAAUCGAAAAGAGAGCAAAGUAGAUCUUAUUCCGAAUUCGCGUUUGAGCGUUACAACAAGGUAAGAGUCUGGGCUACGAGAGCUGUCGGCGAGAUUCCUAGUUCUAAAACCCUAAAGCUACUAAACCUAAUUGAGUCGCAGCUCGAUUAACAAAAAUGGAAAAUUACCUAAAUUGCUCUAAGUGAUAAAUUUGCUGUGUAUCGCGAAUCCCCUUUGCCUUUCACCUAGGACUCCUUAUAUACUUGCUCCUAGGUCGGUUUGUGCCUUUCCCUUUCUGCCCUUAAGCUGUCAUAGCUCAAAAAUGGAGAUAUUCCAAUUUUCCUGAUCUUCGUGAUUAUCUUUGGAAACUUGACAUUUAUUUUGCCUUACGAACCAAGCAUAAACCAUCAUAAGGCUUAUGGGUUUUCAGUUAAGAAAUCGUAAGUGGGCUUCGAGUUGCGUUUUAGGUCUCUUUGGGCCGUCUUUGACUCGAAACGUUUAUUACGGUUUCUUCGAUAAAAACAAACUUCCCGCGGUUUUUAUCAUAAAGUUUGACUGAUGACUUCGAGUGAUGAGAAACAAAGAAUUGUUUAGCCAUGGCCUACGGGAGAUAGCAUUAAAUAGUAGACGAGAAUGCAUGGAUUCGUGUCGUAUCGACGUUUUGGGAAAAUUUGGUCUCUACGUAGCGACCGAGCUUGGCUUGAGCUCGGUCGCUACAUAGCGACCGAGCUUGGCUUGUGCGUGGUCCGAUGGCCAUACUUGAGCUUGUCCGUGGCCGAUUUGGAUACGUGUCUGUUGCCUUCGGACAAUUGGUAUUUAGUGGUUCGAUUGAGAUUAGAACGAGAUUUUACCGCAAGCCUCUUUGUAAAGAUUCUUUUUACGAAGAAAAACUUUCGUAAAAAAAAAAUGUUCACGCUGAUUUUUACGGAGAUUUGGACAUUAACUUCGUUGUAUCCGUUUUUGACCUCAACAAUGAACCUGAGCCAUCCUUUCAUGGGUUAAAUGAUGAUACUCAUCUCGACGUAUCAGACUUUCUGAUUGAGCCAGAGAGUAUCGAUGAGUGAUAUAGAUCGAUGUGAUGUAAGUUUACUGUAUUAUGCUAUCUAUAUCUUUUGUUGUAAGAUAUAUGAUAUGUUUCAUGUUUAAUAAUAUAUAUUUUAUAUUCAGAAAAAUGCCAAACUUUGAGACUAUGGAUGGAGAUAUUUGUUUUGCAGAUAGUGCAACAAAUCACGCGAUAAUUAAAGAUAAGAAAUUUUUCUCCAAUCUCAAAAUGAAAGAUUACACUGGAAGCAUAAGUACAAUAUCUGGUAAUGCAAAGAUUAUUAUGAGCUCUGGAAGAGUGAAAUUUUAAUGCCAGAGGGAACGAUAUUUGAAAUAAGUGAUGCAUUGUAUUCCCUCGAGUCUCAUAGAAACUUAUUAAGUUUUAAGGAUAUCCGAAGAAAUGGAUAUCAUAUUGAGACUAUGAGUAAAGAUGGCAUUGAAUUUCUUUGCAUUAAGUCUGAGAGUAAACAUAUAUUGGAAGAGUUAAGAAUGUUAUUCUCUGGACUAUAUUGUACGAAAUAAACAUGACUGAGUCCUAUGUCGUGGUAAACAUGAAGUUUACUGAUACAUUUAAAAUCUGGCAUGAAAGGCUAGGACAUCCUGGUUCAAUCAUGAUUAGAAAGAUAGUGCAAAAUUCGAAUGGCGAUCCGUUGAAAAACGGAAAAAUUUUGCAAACGGGUGAGUUUACAUGUAAUGGAUGUUCUCAAGGAAAACUUAUAACUCGGCCAUCACCAGCAAAAGUAGGCAAUGAAUCACCAAUGUUUUUAGGAAGAAUACAUGGUGAUAUAUGUGGGCGGAUCUACCCACCGUGCGGGCCGUUAAAGUAUUUCAUGGUAUUGAUUGACACAUCUAGUAGAUGGUCAAGUAUGUGUCUUUUGACGACACGAAAUACAGCUUUCACUAAGUUCAUUGCCCAUAUAAUAAAGCUGAGCAGAGUAUGCCAUUAAGAAAGUAAGGCUUGAUAAUGCUGGUGAAUUUAUAUCGCAAGCCUUUGAUGAUUAUUGUAUGUCAAAUGGGGAUUGAUGUAGAGCAUCCAGUUCCCCAUGUGCAUACACAAAAUGGCAUGGCCGAGUCAUUGAUAAACGGUUGCAGUUGAUUGCAAGACCGUUAGUUUUGAGAACAAAGCUCCCAAUUUAUGUAUGGGGUCAUGCUAUAUUGCAUGCGGCUGCACUGAUUCGGUUAAGACCGAGUGCAUAUCAUAGGUACUCCCCAUUACAAUUGGCAUCUGCGCAAGAGCAAGUUGUAUCCUAUCUUCGUGUCUUUGGGUGUGCGGUCUAUGUUCUGAUAGCUCCGCCACAAAGAAAAAAAAUGAGCCCACAAAGGAGAUUGGGAAUAUAUGUGGGUUAUAUGUCACCAAGUAUAAUAAGAUAUCUGGAACCGGUAACUCGUGAUAUGUUUACGGCACGGUUUUCCGAUUGCCAUUUUAAUGAAGAUGAAUUUCUAGUGUUAUGGGGAGGAAUUAGAUAAAUUCCUAAAGAGAUUACAUGGUGUACACCGUCGUUGUUACACCUUGGUCCCCCUACGAAUCAAAGAGAGCUGGAAGUUCAAAAAAUUGUGUAUUUGCAUAAUUUGGUAAACCAAUUACCAGAUGCGUUCACAGAUACAAAAGAGGUGACGAAGUCAUAUAUACCCGCUGAAAAUAUUCCAUCAAGAGUUGAUGUUCCUAAAGAACAAAAUGAAUGAACCUAGGGUUCAGUUAAAGAGAGGGGGGCUAGGGGGUUCUAAAGAUAAAAAUUCCAGGAAGAGAAAAAAAUGGAUGAGCAAAAAAGUAAGGUUCCAGAAGAACCUGAUAUUAAAAGAUGUCAGAAAGAAAACGUAAAUGGAAAAGUUCCAGAAGAACCUGUUACUGAAAAAUGUCUGAAAGAAGGCAUAAAUAAAGAUGAUCCAGAUGACGAAAAGGGAACAUAAGAGUAUGAGAUUUCCAUCAACUACGCCCAAGAUGAAACGUUAUGGAUCAGAAAUAAGAUAAAAGAUGUUGAUGGAAUGUUCUCAUUUUCUGUGUCCAAAGAGAUCGAUCAUAAAAAUGAUGAUCCCGAUCCAAGAUCCAUUUUGGAAUGUCAGAAAAGACAUGAUUGGGAGGAGUGGAAGAAGACCAUUCAAAUUGAAUUACUCUCCCUGAAUAAAAGAAAUGUCUUUCGACCUAUAGUCAUAACACCUGAGAAUGUAAAUCUGGUUGGGUACAAGUGUGUAUUCGUGAGAAAAGUAAAUGAGAAAAAUGAAGUAGCACGAUAUAAAGCCCGAUUAGUUUCCCAAGGUUUUUCUCAGAGACCGGGAAUUGAUUUUGAGGAAACGUAUUCCCCGGUAAUGGAUGCAAUUACGUUUAUAUUUUUGAUGAGCCUAAUUGCAUCUAAAAAUCUUUAAAUGCAUCUCAUGGACAUUGUGACUGCAUAUUCGAUAUCGAAAUAUAUACGAAACUCUCUGAGGGAUUGAAAAUGCCCGGAGCAUUGAAAGAAAAAUCCAGGGAUAUUUUUUUGGUUAAGUUACAGCAAUCACUUUACAGAUUAAAGCAAUCCGGGCGCAUGUGGUACAAUCGCUUAAGUGAAUAUCUUUUGAGUAAAGGAUAUGUGAAUAAUGCGAUAUGUCCAUGCAUUUUUAUUAAGAAAUCGUCAUCUGGCUUUGUGAUCAAUGUUGCAUUUGUAGAUGACCUGAAUAUAUUUGGGACUCAAAAAGAGGUUGACGAUGCUCGAACUCAUAUGAAAGAGGAGUUCAAAAUGAAAGAUCUCGGCAAGACAAAGUUUUGUCUUGGGCUCCAGAUAGAGAAUCUCCGAGAAGGAAUAUUUGUGCAUCAAUCAAACUAUACGAAAAGGUUAUUGAAACGCUUUUAUAUGGAUAAAGCGACUCCUUUGAGUACUCCAAUGAUAGUUAGAUCUCUCGAUGUUGAGAGAGAUCCUUUAGGCCCUGUGAAGAUAGCAAGAAGAUAUUAGGUCCUGAAGUACCUUAUAUGAGUGGUAUCGGUGGGUUUUUGUAUCUUGCAAACUGUACCAGACUGAUAUUGCUUUGCUACGAACCUACUAGCAAGAUAUAGUUCUGCUCCUACUCGCGGGCAUUGAGACGAAAUAAAGCAUGUAUUAUGUUACCUCCAAGGUACAGUUGAUUUAGGGUUAAUGUAUUUUAGAAAACCCGAGUUUGGUAUGGUUGGUUUUGCAGAUGCAUGAUACUUAUCAGAUCCUCAUAAAGCUCGAUCGCAAACCGGCUAUGUUUUUACGAUUGGUGGAACCGCGAUCUCUUGGCUUUCCUAAAAACAAACUCUGGUUGCGACUUCUUCAAAUCAUGCUGAAACUAUUGCGCUUCAUGAAGCAUGUCGAGAAUGUGUGGCUUAGGUUAAUGAGUCAACACAUACAAGAAUCAAGCGGAAUAGUCAACGAAAAAGAUCCGACGAAAAUAUUUAAAGACAAUUUGGCGUGUGUCGCUCAACUUAAAGAAGGCUAUAUCAAGAGCGACAGAACAAAGCACAUUCCUCCAAGAUUUUUCUUAUGCGUAUGAGAACUCGAGAAAAACCAAGAAGUGGACAUUGAGUAUGUACGGUCAUGCGACAAUCUGGCUGACUUGUUCACAAAAGCUCCUCUGACUACAAUAUUCCGAAAACGCGUCUAUGGUAUCAGAAUGUGGUAUUUGCGUGACAUGUGAUGAGAAAGCUAUGUAUACUAUUCUCAAGGGGAGAUUACGGCAGUGUACUCUUUUUCCAUUGUCAUGAUUUUUACCCCAAUGAGGUUUUCUAUGACUAGGUUUUUAACGAGGCACUACAUAAUACAAAAAGAAUGAUCAAGGAGGAGUGUUAUAAGAUAAACAUUGAAAAGUCAAUGAUUAUCCACUUCACGGACUUUAUUAAACCGACUUUCUAUAUUUUAUAUUUUCUCAAGUACUAUAAAUAGUACGUGAAAGGUCAAAGAAGAAGGAUGAAUAAUAACCUUUCACUUUAUACUACUCUCUCUUUCUCCCUUAUGUUUUGUUACAAGAAACAAAUAGAAAAUAUGUUAGUUUCUUUCAAAUAAAAUAAUAAAUACACAACUCCCUCUUUCUUUUUACGGCUUUGAAUGACAUGCAUAUUAAGGCUUUGAAUGGAAUGAAGAUCAAAGAAACGCAGAUUAAACAGAAAAUGCAGAUCAAGCAGAACAAAUGCAAAUUAUUUGAUAUAUUAAAUGUACUUUUGAAAUGAAAUGUUAUUUGAUAUAAAAGUAAAAUAAUCAAAUUAAAUAAAUAUAUUUAAUGGCAGCACGAAAAAAAAAUUAAUCUUGGCCCUGAGCAUGUUUUUGGUGUCUUUCCUUUCUCUCAUGCAGAUCAUUAAAUCAAUGACUAAAUUUAUUCUGCAAGCAGAUUAUUUUUUAUUUUAUGAUUUUCUUUUGUUCUGCAUUUAAAAAGUUGAAUGAAAAAAAAUUACAGUUCAAUCUGCAUUGGUAAAUGGUCUGCAUAUGUACUCCAUUUGGACUGUGUUACAUUCAUAGCCUAAAAUGCAGAACACUUAUUUUGCAGAUUGGAUUGCAUUUGUUUUUCAUUCACCUUUUUUAAAUGCGGAUCAUUUAUUACAAAGAGAUUUAUUGAUCUCCAAAAAAUAAAGAAAAGAGGUGAGAGAAAUGCAAAUGACUAAUCAUGUAGUUUUAUUUUGUUUUCUCCUUAUUAUUUUUAUAAAUAAUUUAUUUAUCCGAUUUCAUUAAUUUUCAAACAAAGCACCAAAUCUUUCCUAAAUAUUAUUAAUAUUUUAUAUCAUUUACGCUUUAUAUUAUAAUUUUUUUAAAAUUAUUUAUAAAAUUAAUAUAUUAAAUAUGUAUUGUAUUAUUUAUAUCUGAUUUGACAUAAAAUGGGUUAGAAAAUGAAAUAUUUUUAGUGUACAUAUUAUAGUUUAUUAUAUUUUUUGCAAUAAACUGUAAUGCAUAGUUUGCAUCAUCUAAUAUAUAUAUAAUUUCACUAUAGAAUCAUAUAUUAUAUUUAUUUCAUUUAGAAAAUCUCUACAAAAUAAUGAUUUAGCAUUUCAUUUCGUAUUUUAUGUAUCAUUUAUUUUAGAUGAAUUUAUUUAUAAUAAGUGAUAUACAUAUAUAUAACUGUAUCCUUUAAAAAAUAUAUUAGUAAAAAUCAUGUAUAAUAUUUUAAAAGUUAUUAAUAUUUUUAUAUAAAUUAGUCUUGGGAAUUUUUUUAAACCCCAAAAAUAAAACCAGAACAUAGCCGAAAAAUGAAACUGAAACUAGACCAAAAUUUACAAAAACAUGAACGGGUACUAUUUUUUUAAAUCUAAAAAAUAAAAAUGAAUCGAAAUUGAAUAUAUACCCAAAUAUCCAAAAUAUAAUAAAAUACUAAUUACUUAUAAUUUUAAAAUAGCUAUGAUAUAUAAUUUAUGGAUAAAACAUUAUUCAACACAUCCGAGUUACUUAAAUAUUUUCAGGUUUUUAGGGUUUUAACUUGGAUUUUCGUAGGUUUUACAUUUUUGUUUUUUUUUUGCUUUAAACUUGAAAUAAAUCAGAACCUUUUUUAAUUCGAUAUAUUUUGGGUUUUACUAAAAAAACUAACUUGCACCCGACAUUAAUUAUUCGAACUGAUUCUUUCUAGACAUUUUUUGGUUUCUAAAUGGAUCCUAAGAAUUCUAACCCGAAUAAGUAGACCUGUUCAGAACCGUAUACGCAAAUGUCCAACACUAUUUCAAUUAAUAAUGAUGAUUGGAUAAAUUAGUCGAACUGCAUUUGUUCUGCGUAUUUAUUUGAUCUGCAUAUGUUCUGCUUGAUCUGCAUUAUCUGUUGAUCUGCAUAUUUUGAACUGCGUCUCUCAUCCCAAGUGUACGUUUCCAAACAACAAGAAAAUAUAGGGUCUAAAUGAAGAGUAGGAGAAAAUUAGGAGAAAUGCAGAAGAAAUAAAAAUGCAGGAAAGACUGCAAUUAAUCCUCAUUCAUCAAUUAAAAACAGAACAAAAAAAACUAAUAAAAUAAAGACGUACUGCAUGCACCUAAUUAAUAGAGAAAACGGCUAAAAAAGCCUGAACUUUCAAAUUUAAGCCAAAAAUACCUUGAACUUGUAUUUAAGCCAAAAAAUACCUCAAUUUUCAAAUAAUGGCCAUUUUAAAUUUCAUAUUUUUUGACCGAGCUAAAUUAGAAACCCGAAAUAGUCAACAGUUAAAUAUAUAAACGUCUAUUAAGUCCUAAAAAAAUUGUUUUAAAAUUGAUCCAAAAUAGUGAAACUGCGUAGUUUUGCAUCUCUUCUAUUUUUUUUAUAUCAUUCGUCUUCUCUUCACGACAAAAAAAAAACAGAUCCCCCAAAUUAAAAACCUUAAUUCUCUAAUCUAUAAUCGCUCAAGUCUCGUUCUAUGUCUCUCGUGCAACAAAGUUUUAGAAUGUUGUGAACUUGAGCAGGCAAUGGAUUGAGAAUUUGAUGAAGCGGGAGAAUCGUAAAGAGGUUUGGAUCGUUGUGCUUUAUGCACCUUGGUGCCCGUUAUGUCAAGUGAUGGAAGCUUCGUUUGUUGAAUUGGCGGAUAAGUUGAGUGGAAGUAGCGUGAAGGUUGCCACUUGCCAAGUUUAGAGCUGAUGGAGACCAAAAGGAGUUUUCUAAAAGGGAGUUGCAGCUUGGGAGGUUCCCAAUGAUACUUGUGUUCCCAAAGAACUCUUCAAGACCAAUCAAGUAUCCAUCAGAGAAGAGAGAUGUUGAAAGCUAGAAUGACGUUGAAGAAAGAGCUUUAGAUUCUCUAUUGAAAGUUUUUGACUUUUGUAUAGUUGUGGUGUACCCAAACCUUAUCCUUUUGUAAAACUUUUGGCUUUGUGAUGAUAUGAGCAACUUUUCAAACAUCGAUCACUCUGAUAUGGAUUGAUUCAAUAUUCCAAUUUGAAAAUGCAAAAGAAGGUAAAAGAAAAGGUUUCUGAAGAUUAUAAACCCAAUUGUCAAAGAUUCAAAACAUGAAAAGCAGAGCAAAGUAAAAGCCAGAGAGAACAAGGAAGGAAUGUACAUCUUAUCUUCCUCCUUUAUCUAUUUAUAUUCAUGGUAAAGAUGAAAAAAUAUAAAUUCAAGCAACAAUGAAGGUGUUCUCUCUGCUGUAGGUCAUGUAGAGGAACCCAUCUUCAUCUUUGUGAUCCUCAUAGAUUGCAGACAUCAAUGCAUCUAUAAAAUAAAUAAACAAAAAAAGGACCAGUGAGAUCAAGACAUUGAAUGAAACUUGGUUUUGUCUAAUAUGUAUCUCUAAGAAGAUAGAACGAAUACAAAACAGAGAGAUCAUACAUUGUAUUAUCGUAAAGACAAAACAGAGAGAUCAUACUUGUCAAUAUCACAAUUGCGAGGGUUGAGAUGACUCUUGAAAGAGUCCUUGUGGUUGAGAGUAUUCUCCCUACAACAUUUAAUCACAGUUAAUCAUAACAAUAAGAUAAACAACUUGAUAAAAUAAUACACAUGAAACACACGUACCAAAUCCUUUCUUGGUCGGCCUCUUAGCCUUUUUGGAGCACUCUCAACUGUGUCAUUAGGACAAGUCACCUUGUUGUUACCUUCAACAUGACAAUUUGAGCAUGUGAUGACUCUCCUGUCUCGUGUCAUCUUGGUAGCCUUGGAUGAAGUUUCAUGAAGCCCUUUCUUCCUAUCAUAAUUACUUGGUCUUCCACGUUUCCCUACUCUAAAUGGUGGUGGUAAAACUCCUAACCUAUUUAACCGAGGCCAUAACUUCAUACCUAGGACAGGUAUAAUCCCACGGGAAUAUGUUUGUCGCCACUUUUGGGCUGUGUAAUAGCCAGCAACAUAAUCUUCUAUCCUAAUCUUCUUGGCUCUAAUAACACAAGCGGCAUGGAUACAAGGGAUUCCAGUGAGCUGCCAUUUUAUACACCCACAUGUUUUGAGAUCCAUGUCUACACGAUAAGAAACACUAUGGUCAUCAAUCUCAUGCACGUUUCCACAAGCUAUAUGCCUUCUCAAAUCUUUAGCUUUCUCUUUGUUGAGUUCAAUCUCAGUGUGCACCUUCUUAGUAAAAUGUGUUUUCAACCUAUUUGCAAGAAUAGCUCUUUUUGCAUUACGAACCAUACAUUGCCUCCUAAUAUCCUCUAGCAUGUCAAGUAAUGGUUUUUUCCUUGCUUCCCUAAUGGUUUUAUUGAAAGAUUCACAGAGGUUGUUGAGGUUAUCAUUGCAAAACGACCCAACUCUAAAGAAUGCCUUACUCCAUGUUUUCGGGUUCUGUAGUUGAAGAGUAUCCCACGCACCUCUGUUAUAUUUCUUCAGUACCUCUAAAGCAUCUUCGAACUCUCCUAUGGUGUAGCAACCAGCUAUUAUCCAAAACAUACGCUCUAACUCAGGAUCCUUGCUGUAUCUUUUCCAGUUUGACAAUAUGUGUCUUGCACACAUUCGAUGUUCUGCUUCUAGUAGUUCAUUUUUAACAGCAUUCACUAAGCCCUGCAUAAAUUAUUAAGUAGAUAUUCAAUACAUUUUUAUUAAGAAAACAAAAUAAACUAACCUUCUAACCUUUUGUUUGUCUGAAAUGAUGGUGAAUUUGGAGCCAUCUUGUAGUCCCAAAUCUUCAUUUAACAAUCUAACAAACCACUCCCAGUUUAUGUUAUUUUCGACCUCCACUACAGCCCAAGCAAUUGGAACUAUUCUAUUGUCCCCAUCUCUUCCAACAGCAGCCAAUAAGUGUCCUUUUAUAUCCCAUUUGAGAAAUGCUCCAUCUAAACCAAUGAUGGGUCUACAAGUUUCAAUCCAUGUCUCUCUUUGAGCUGUAAAACACAUGUAUAGGCGCUCAAAUCUCUGUUUGCUCCCUACCACAGGCCCUGGAACAGUGUCAAUUUUUAUAGUUGAGUACGUAUUAGAUUUUAGGACCUCAGCUUGAUAGUCCCAAAUCCGAGAAAAGUGAGCUUCAUGGCUGGCUUUCCUUUCUCUGUAAAGCUUAGACUUCGCUUUUCCACACUGCUCCUCAGUGACAGUGAGAUUAUAUUCUCUCUGUAUCUCAUCCACCAUCUCUGUCCUAGUAAAUUUAGGAUUUAUUCUUAGUCUUUCCUCAAAGAGAAUGGCAAUAGAAGAAGUCUUCAACAUCUUCGAGUAUCCUGAUCUAAUGCAACAAUGCUCAUUCACAAAUACCUUCACUUGCAUCUUAUGUCUUCUUCUUUCAUAUGAACAAUAAAUUCUCCAAGGACACUUACACUCUACAUCAGAGCAUUUUGCACCCAGCGCCUUAGCACAAGACUUAUAGAGCUUGAUAUCAUACCUUGAUCGAAGAGAAUACCUAAGCAAAGCAACUUUAAAAUCAGACGCACAUCCGUACGUUUUCCCCAAAUACAGAAGCUCAUCACAACCAAGUGUAUUUGCAACCUCUUCUCUACGCUCAAACUCCUCUUCAUCGUCAUCAGAUGACAAUGGGUCUGGGAUUUUAUCAUCAUCCCAAAUCUCAUCACCACUGUCUCAGUCACUCACAUCACCCUCGUUUUGUGCAUCAUCUCCAAAGUGAGCGCUUAAAUCCUCUACAACUUCUUCUUCGAUACCAAUACCAUUCUGAUCAGCCUCAUUAUCACCUUCUUUGUACUUGAUUCUAUUGCUCAUUAGGUUCUUCUCUAGGUUCCCUAACAGUUUCUCUUUCUGGUCCCUCAGUACGACGAGCCUGAAGUAAUCCCAUCGUCCGAGCCAUCCUCUACGUCGUCAAUGUCUCUGGAUUUCAGAGAUUAAAGGAUUGAGAGAUUAGAGAACAAGAGAUUAGAGAAUUAGAGAAUUAGGUUUUUUUUUAGUUUUGGGUUCUGUUUUUUCUUUGUCGUGAAAGAGGAGAAGAAGAGAUGAAAAAAAAUGGAAGAUAUGCAAAACGACGUAGUUUCAUUAAUUUUGAAUCAAUUUUUAAAACGAUUAACAGACGUUUAUGGAUUUAACUGUUGACUAUUCCGGAUUUCUAAUUUGGCCCAGUCAACAAAAUAUGAGAUUUAAAAUGACCAUUACUUAAAAAUUAGAGUAUUUUUUUGACUCAAAUACAAGUUUGAGAUUUGUUUGGCUUAUAUUUGAAAGUUUAGGGUUUUUUUGGUCGUUUUCUCCUAAUUAAUGAGUUACUUUUUUGUCCAGCAGGUUAAGAGGAGCAGGAGGGAGUCAGGUGACCAAUGGAUCUGUAGCAUUUUUUUUUCUUUUUUUUCUUUUCUUUUUUGGUCUAUUAUCCGUAAAUGAUAUAAUAAUUUAUUUCUUUUGAUUAAAAUAAGUUAAAAUCUAUAUUUGGUAAUAUACUAAGUAAAAAAUUCACUUGUUCUCUAAAAAUAUAUUAUAACAUAUGCAUGUAUUUUCAUAUUCUAUUUAAUUAAUUUUCUAUUUUAAUGAAAGCAGUAUUUUUAUAUUAUGUUUAAUUAAUUCUUUUAUAUUUUUAAUUGAUUCAUAUAUCUACAUUAACUAAAACCAAUUCAAAAAACAAAACUACGCUUUUAGUUAAAAAAAUUUCAGCACGAUUUUAGUUAGGUUUUCAAUGAAUUUUUUAAAAAAAAUUAAUUUAUAUUUAAUAAUACUUAGUAAAUCGGAUCAUUCAGACAAACUUUAAUAUUUUGGAUUAAAACUAUUCAAGUUAUUCGGUUUUUAGUAUAAUUUAGAUAAUGUAAAAUACUUUAGAUUAAAAAAAAUAUUCGAGUAUUUCAAUUUUUUGUAUAGUUCGGUGUAUAAGUAGUAUGUUUAGAAUAUUUGGUAUUUCUAAUACUAAAUAUAAUUAAUAUUUUUAGAUAUAUAAAUUGUAUUUUGGAUAUUCGGGUAUCAUUCGGAUUUUAAUUCGGUUUCGUUUUUUCGACUAAACAAAUAUAGGAACCAUUUGGUUAUUUUUUAAUUUUGGUUUCGGGUUCGGUUUUUUUGGUUUGAUUCCAGUUCGGUUUUCUGUUCUCGGUUUUUAUGCCCAUGCUUAAUUAAUUCUAUAGUUGAACCAAAUGAUAAGAAAUAACCGAAAGUCAAAUAAAAAUACAAAAAAUAAGAGCAAAACAAGAAUACACUUUUUAAUUUUUGUAAUUGUGAUAAAUUUUCAUACAAUUUACAAUUUCACUAUAUUUAUUAGAAUGAUGAUAUUUAUUGUUAUUUUUGUCAAUAUUAUAUUUCUUACUUAGUUAUAAUAAAUUGUAUUUUUGAGAUAUUUUAUUUUUAUUAAAAAAUUCAACAUGUAUUUAAUUACGAUAAUUUUUUAAAUUAGUUUGAUCUACAUUUGUUCUGCUUGAUCUGCAUUUGUUCGGCUUGAUCGCAUUUUUGUUCGGUUUGCAUUACCCAUUGGAAGCCAUAAAGUGAUCUCAUUCACUAUUUCUUUCUUUCGUCAACAUCAUUCUUGUACAAAUAUAAUAAAUAGAAAAUAUCAGUUCAGCCUCGCCUGGUUAUUUACAACAAAUAGUGAUUUAUGUACAUAUUUUUUUUAGUCAUAAAUCAAAUUUCUCUUGAGAAUUGCUAUACCGCUAGAAGAAGAAAAAUCACCAAUGCUGGCUUUUACAGCUGUCUCACCAACUGUUGAAUCUAUCCCGUAGACUAUAUUUGCGAAGUGAUUUUGCCACAUGUACUAUGUACAAUCAAUUUCACAAAACAAAUAUUACAUGACUACUGAAAUUGAUAAUAUGUCUUAUAGCUUAAUAUGACAUGGACAAUUGCAUUUAAUGUUAAUUUAUAUUUUUGGUAAACUUUUUAUAAAAUAUGGUAAUAACUCAUAUAUUACAUUUAAUGUCAAUUUAUAUUUUUGGAAUUUUUUUUAGAAUAUGAGAAUAACUAAUAAAUCAUCAUUAAAAUAAAUAUAUUCAAAUAUGGCAUUAUAAAUUUCGAAAUAUAAUUUAAUUAUAUAUUUUUAAAUUAUACAAUUUUAUUACUAAACUUUUCAAAAAUGUAUACAAUUUUAUUAUAAAAUUAUAAAAAUUUAAUCGUAAAAUUAUUAUUUUCUUAUAUAUCUACAAAUUUUAUAAAUAUUGUUCAAUUUUAAUUUUUGGUAAUUAUGCAACUUUUACAAAUUUAUUUAAUAUAUUUAAUUAAAAUAAAUAGAUAGAAAAAUCUAUCUAAGAUUAUAAUUUCAAAUAUAUACAUGCAUAUUCUUAAAUAUAAUUUUUAUGUUUAAUUAAAUCAAAUUUAUAUUAAAAUAUUGAUACGAAAAAGAAAAUUUACAAUAUUAAUAAAAUUUUAUUUUAAAAUAUAAUUUAUAUUUAUCAGUUAAAAAUAUUUUAAAUUUUUUUAUUGCACAUGGUGCAUGAAGACACCUAGUAUCCCAUAUAUAAAUGGGAAACUAGGCCAAAUAACAAAAAAAAAAAAAAAAAAACUAGAUUAUACUCACAAACGCAAAUUCACUUACUUUUCUCGGUAAAUUUUUUUUUUUUUAAGCAAUAGGUGCGCUUUUAAUCUCUUUUAUUAACGGACGCUAUUUAUGCAAGUCUUUCGUCUGUCAACGCGAAAGCUUGGCUUCACUCGUCGGCACCUCAUCACUGAGAAGAGCUAAGCAGAAAUCUCGAGAGAAACAAGCAAAAUAAACUUCAAACAGGUAAAUAAAAAUGCUCUCUUUCUAGAUCGUUUCCAGCUCUGAAAACUCAUCUCUUGAAGAAAGAUCCCUUCUGGGUUUUCCAAUUUCAGUUUCAAAUUCAUUUGGGUUUCCAUGUCCAAUGCUAAAGUUACAAUCUUGUUUUUCCUUUUAUAUUCCAAUCUAGAGUUUGUAGCAGUGCCUUAAGUUUCAAAUUUUGCUGUUUAAACAAAUAAAAAUCUAAACUUUAUAAUCAGUUUCUCCUUAAUGAAAUUCGAGUUGUAUCAUGAUGUCAAGUUUUACCAUUUUAAUAUGAUUUAAAUGUAUAUUUAAAUAGAUAGUAUGAUACUAAUGUUUCAGAAAUUUCAAAAGUGAUGAUGAUGGCUUCUUCUAAGAACACUCCGCCAGUGAAUAAUCGGACAAGAAUAUCUAUAACCAUUGUCACUGGUUUGUGUUGUUUCUUCUAUCUUCUUGGAGCAUGGCAACGUAAUGGGUUUGGUAAAGGAGGAGGUGUUAUAACACUGGAAGCAGUAACAAAGCAAGCUCAAUGUACAAAUACAACAGACAUUGUAACCAAUCUCGACUUUGAACCUCACCAUAAGACAAUAAAGAUCCCUCAAAGAGCUAACCCUAAGCCCAUCAUGUUCAAGCCCUGUGAUGUGAAGUACAAAGACUACACGCCUUGCCAUGAACAAAAAAGGGCAAUGAGAUUCCCAAGGGAGAACAUGGUUUACAGAGAGAGACAUUGCCCACCGGAGAAUGAGAAGCUGCGUUGUCUAAUACCUGCUCCUAAAGGGUAUACGACUCCUUUCCCUUGGCCUAAAAGCCGUGACUACGUUCACUACGCCAAUGUUCCUUUCAAGACCUUGACGGUUGCAAAAGCUGGACAGAACUGGGUGAAGUUUCAAGGGGGUGUGUUUAAGUUCCCUGGAGGAGGAACUAUGUUUCCUCAAGGCGCUGAUGCUUAUAUCGAAACGCUAGCUAAAGUAAUCCCUAUCAAAGAUGGAUCAGUUAGAACUGCGUUGGACACAGGAUGUGGGGUGAGUUUAGUUUCAUUUACACAAGCUCUCAAGGCUUUUGUUGAUAAAGCGUUUUAUUGUUUGUUCUAUUUUGCAUCUUAGGUUGCAAGCUGGGGUGCAUAUAUGCUUAAGAAGAAUGUACUGACUAUGUCGUUUGCGCCACGGGAUGUCCAUGAAGCUCAAGUACAGUUUGCUCUGGAGAGAGGUGUUCCGGCAAUCAUCGGUGUUCUCGGGUCAAUACGUCUUCCAUACCCACCAAGAGCCUUUGAUAUGGCUCACUGCUCUCGAUGUUUGAUACCGUGGACCUCAAAUGGUGAUACUAUUGAUUGAAACUCUUAAAACGGCUAAAAUGCCGCUCUAUAUUGUUGAUUUGUCUUUUUUUUUUGUGCAGAGGGAAUGUACUUAAUGGAAGUGGAUAGAGUCUUGAGACCGGGAGGUUACUGGGUCUUAUCCGGGCCUCCAAUCAACUGGAAGACAUACUACAAGACGUGGAAGCGGUCUAAGAAAGAACUCAAAGCUGAGCAAAAGAGAAUAGAGGAGAUAGCAGAGUCCUUAUGCUGGGAGAAGAAGUAUGAGAAAGGAGACAUUGCAAUCUGGAGAAAGAAAACUAAUGACAGAUCAUGCAAUAAGUCCUCAUCAUCAUCAUCUGUUAAAACCUGCAAAGGACAAGACACUGAUGAUGUCUGGAACAAGACAAUGGAAGUAUGUGUAACUCCAUUCCCCAAAGUAUCAAGCGAUGUAGAAGUAAUGAAGUUUCCUGAGAGGCUAUUCUCAGUCCCUCCGCGUGUAACCAAAGGUUUGGUGGAGGGUGUGAACGUUGAAUCAUAUCAAGAAGAUAACAAACUGUGGAGGAAACGAGUGAGUAACUACAAGAGAAUCAAUAGACUGAUAGGUAGCACUAGAUACCGUAAUGUGAUGGAUAUGAAUGCUGGACUUGGUGGAUUUGCGGCUGCGCUUGAAUCUACUGAAUCUUGGGUUAUGAAUGUUGUUCCAACCAUUGCAAAGAACACUUUAAGUGUUGUCUUUGAAAGGGGUCUCAUCGGCAUCUACCAUGACUGGUAAUGACAAAAAAAACUCAAAGCGGUUUGAUCAUUCAACACCAAAUCUUGAUGAUAUUCGCUUUAUAAAUGUGCAGGUGUGAAGGGUUUUCGACUUAUCCGAGGACAUAUGAUCUCAUCCACGCAAACAAUGUCUUCAGCUUGUAUCAGAACAGGUUAGUUCUGUUGUCAUAAAUCUACGAACUUUCAGGCAUAACUGUUGACACUUCAUUAUGUAGAUGCAAUGUUGAAGACAUUCUGCUUGAAAUGGAUCGGAUUUUGAGGCCGGAAGGAACGGUAUUAUUCAGAGACGAGGUUGAUGUUCUAAACGAUGUAAGAAAGAUCGCAAACGGAAUGAAAUGGGACACUAAGUUGAUGGAUCACGAGGAUGGUCCACUCGUGCCGGAGAAGAUUCUCGUCGCCGUUAAGAAGUAUUGGGUCGCCGGUGACGGUGUUAGCGUAGGGAACAGUACUUCGACGUUUAAGUAGUGAAGAACUGAAGAAUAAGAAACUACUGAGGUUAAACGAGUUUUCGAAAAUGUCCCAUAAUUUUAGAUGUUUACUUGUUUUAACCACCAAGUUUUGAUUAGGUUUAAGUAAACCCCGUUGAUCUUGGUGUUUUUUAUUGAGAAAUUUGCUCUCCUACCAAAGAACUAUCCUAUAAUUAACAAUAUACCAAAACUCUAUAUUUUGAUACUGUUGGUAAUUAAUCGUGACUCUGCUGCCUCUAUAUAUCUCCUAUGAACACUACUAUUUGACAUACACAAAAUCUUGUUAAAAGAUUUUUGAAGAUUUGGUUCUUGUACUCAUAUCUUGCUUUAAUGUCAGAUCAAACAUAGUUCUAUCCUCUACCUCUUCGAAUAUUGUCAAACAAUUUGAAAAUGGAAAUUAUUUUCUCUCUCCAUUAAUCCACAACAUUUUUGUUAUUAAAUCAUGUAUCUUUUCGUCUUUCUCUGUUCUGAUUUCUAUUUACACCCUAUUUUGAAGACGUUGAGAGUAUUGUUUACCAAAUAUAGUUCUUUGGCGUGAGCUUAAAACAUUUCUUUUCUCAGUAGGAAGCUCGUGCUUUUGAUAUUAUUAUUUCUAGAUGAAGAGAAGUUCAAGGAGAAACAAAAUUAUUUCUAGAUGAAGAAAAGUUCAUUGGAGUUACGUUUUCCGGUUCUAAUGUAAAUCACUGUAACCUAGUUUAAGUUCUUACGCUAGCUAUAUAUUGUAAGGUAGUUUACCUCUAAUAAGAAUCAUAUUCCAUAAUCUUCAAAGAUAAGCCGAGGAACCUACAACAUCUCUAUUUAAAUUUAUUACCAGCUAGCAAAAUUUUUAGCUGUAAUUUUUUUUUAAAUGGAUAGUCAGAAAAAUUAUUGUACCAUAACAGUGAAUUCCGGAUAAUUGAAAGUUAGAUUUCUCAUUAUUGUUAACAUGCUAUCAAACAAGUUACACAUCCAACUACAAGGAGUUUCGAUUUAUGGCUAAAACUAUAAUGUAGGGGUAUCAUAAUUUAUAGCUAAUAUUAUUAUUGACAUGUUCAUUAAUUGUGUUAGCCAUCCAAAAAGUGUGUUAACUAUCCACGAGGAAAACUGGACAUUUGAUAAUUGACUUAUAUUUCUUCUCCAUUUAUCAGGUCUUAAUUAGGCUUAAGGAAAUUGUAUAUAAGGUUUAGUUUAUCAUAAUAUAGUGUCAAGGGUUUAUGAUCAAUGGUUCAGGGUCUAAGGUGUUGAUGUUGGGUUAUAUGGUAUUGAUUUAGGGUUUAGGGUAUUUUUUGAGGGUUUAUUGUAUUUUUUAGGGCUUAGGCUUUAUGAUUUCAUUAGGGUUUAUGAUUUAUCUGUAUGAUUUAAUGUUUUGUAUUAUAGUGGUAAGAGGUUAUAAUCAAUUGUUUAGGGUCUAAGCUGUUGCUAUUGGGUUUAAGGUUUAUAGUAUUGAUUUAGGGUUUAGCUUGGUUUAGGGUUUAGAUUUUAGGGUUUAGGGUUUAUAUUUGGUAAGGGUUCAGAGUUUAUGAUUUGUUUACGAUAUAGGGCUUAAAGAUUUUGUGAUUGUAAAACAGCAAAACUUCUACAUAUUAAGUUAAUUUGUUACAUACACAGUUACAAUGAAGUUUAACCAUGCAAAACAAGCCUUAACCACACUAAAAUUUCAGAUAACAAUCUUCUCAAACCCAAGAAAACAACGGCGUCCGAACACUAUCAACCGUUACAAAAGGUUUAGCCUUUCAAAAACAAACUGAACCCGAGUUAUAUCUUACAAUAACCGUCUUCCAUGAUCCGAAAACAUAGGCGAUAAACAUGGGUGGAUUGGCAUUAGUAGACGGCUGUAGUUUGGAAGUUCUUCAGUCCAAUCCCUACAAAUAAUAAGAAAUAGAAAUGUAAUGAACAUAUGUUACAAUAUCUAAGCUUAUUUAGGAAAAUAAUGCAUAACAAUAUUUUCCUUCUAAAUGUAUAUUUACAUGGAUAUCUUUUUUAUUAACUGUCCAAUUGUAUUACUUAGAUAAUACAUACCAAUCGCACCCGCCACAGACACUACUAAUUAUCAUUCGCCAUGUAUGUAAUGCAACCCCAAUCACCAAUAGAUAUACAUAGGUAAAUUGCUAAAACUAUUGUCCAACUAAUAUAUGUUGUAGUUGGUCUAACAAAAUUGUUAUCUGGCUACUAUUAUAUUUACACAUCCAACUAAAUAUUUAACACUAGCGAAAAGGAUUACCUUCUUGGCUUUGUUCUUAACUGUCCCCCCUCCCCCACAUCGUUUCCCCUUCCAAAGUUUUGAUUGAUAGUUCUAGCUCGGUGAUUUAAUAUUUGUAUGGUUUCAAUUUCUCGAUUAUGUUUGUUGGGACAAGAUUAUGAUGGUGAAACAUAUCUUCUUGGGUUUGUACAUUCAUUAGGAUGAUGAAGAAAAUCUUGACGAUGAAGAUUGAGAUAAAAAAAAGGAAGAAGACGAUGACAGAGAAAGGUAGGAGGACGAUGAUUGUUUAUGAAAAAAAAUUAUUUUCUUUUGUUGUAUGUUUAAAAUAUAAAAUAAUCUUUAAAAGAUUAUCAAAUCUAGUAAAAUCUUAAAGAAAUCUUGUAGGAUAUAUUGUGUCAGAUGUGUCAGUUACUAUGCCUACCUCUCUUCUAUCCGAAAGUCGCCAAGCUACAAGGUUAUUUUCGUCUUUCUCAAACUGUUUAUUGUGACACGUAUGCAUAACUUUUUAUGUGUGGAUACUUAGCUAAUUUAGUCAUUUUUUUUUGUUUUUUACCCAAUUAGCUCUUUUUUAUUUAACUUUUCUUUUUAGACUAGAACUAUUGUAAAGUACCAAUUAUACAUUAGAAUUACAAGUUUAUACAAUUUAGACCCUGUAUUUACAAAUUUUCAGAUUUUUACGUAAUGCUCAGGUUUCGAAGCUGUUAAAGUGUGAAGGAAUCAGACAUUCAGGGCUUUAAUUAGAAAUUACAUCAGUAUAGAGUGUACACUUUCUUUUGUUAAAAAGGUAAACUAUAGUAGAAUAUUUAUAUUUUGUAAACUAAUAUUUCUGAUAAAUUAAGAAAAUUUUAAUUUUAGUUACAAAUAUAUCUCCAAUUUAAUUAAUUUAAUAAGUUAAUAUUUUCUUAAAAUUAAUAAACUAUCAUGGUUGUACUUGUAAUAAUGCUAAUCUAUAGAUUUUAAUAAAUUAAUGAUUUGCACCGCAUCCGAUAAAAUCAAAUCCCACCAUCGUUGUUACCUCCAGAGGGAAGAAAAAUCUCUCAACUUCAGCAAUCAUCUUCCAUUUUCUUUUUUUCCAUCCAAAGUUCUGAUCUUUGUGGAGAAAACUAAAAAAAAGAGAGAAAAUGGGUUGCUUGCAUUCCAAAACAGCUAAUAUACCUUCUUCUGAUGAUCCAUCAGCUCCAGAAAAAAAAGAAUCAGGUACUCAUCUCUCAGAUUCAAUGAACUUUUAGUAAGUAAAUUUGCAUUCUUUUUUUGAGUAAUGGGUUUGUUCUAAUUUGUGGGUUUUAAUUUUUUUAAGACUUAAAGCAAAACAAAAGUUGGAAAGUUUCAACUUUCAAUCUUUUCGAAUUUGAACUCAUGUUUUUUAGAUUAAUUAGGUGUCUUCCUGCAGUAAAAAAAUUUAAAAUAUUUUUUAGUCAAAAAUUUCCAAAAAUAUAAAUUGACAUUAAAUGUAAUAUAUGAGUUAUUACCAUAUUUUAAAAAGUUUACCAAAAAUAUAAAUUAACAUUAAAUGCAAUUAUCCAUAUCAUAUUAAGGUAUAAGACAUGUCAUCAAUUUCAGUAGUCAUGUUAUAUUUGUUUUGUGAAAUUGAUUGUAUAAAGAACACGUGGCAAAAUCACUUCGCAAAUAUAAUUUAGGAAAUGAUUGUAUAAAAGACAUGUGACAAAAUCACUUCGUUUUUCACCGCUAUAUUUUGGGCCUAGUUGCCUUUCUUUUAGCAAAUAAUGGGAAUACUGUUUUUGUGUUGACAUUGGUUGACUUGUGAAAUGAGGUGGAAGCAACCGGUGUUGGGAAGCUUACGAACAAGAGAAUAGUCAGUUUGAUUUGAUUAUUUCUCUUACAAGAUCCCUUUUAUAAUAUUCUUUAGAUGUUUACUCUCUCCUUUAUGUUUGUUUGCAAGGGAAAAGCAGCGGCGUCCAUGGGAAUGCGUGUUCUUUUAGACCAUAUUGCACAAGCACUUGAUCUGCAACAAUGAAAACCGUAAGAUUUAUCAUGACCAUAAUAAGCAUUAGGCUCGAUCAUCAUAUCAUGAAUUUUUUUUAUAUAUUACUGAUUCAAAUAAUUUUUAAAGUUUUGGAAAUAUAACUUUUCAUCGUAUUUUGUAUAUUGAACAAUGUAUAUAUGUUGUAUGUAUUACACACAGCAUAAUAAAACUACAUAUAUCUUCGUAAUAAUUGAUAAUUUGAUAUAUGUCAUAGCUUCAUAGAAACAAAUUAAAAUGAGCAAUUCCUAAAGCUAAAACUUACAUAAUAAAUAUAAUCUUUUCCAAAAAGAAGCACUUGCUGACGGAAGCAAGCAUUUGAUUAUAAAUAAGUGAUGUGCAAUCGAAUAAAAUUACAUUACAAAAAAAAUACUUUUAUCCUUUACAGAACAAAAACAAUGAGAUAAGACCAUGAUUAUCGGUAAUCCUUAAUGGGUUUCUUAGUGUUUUAAGGAUAUUUAAUUAAAUCAAAAUAAAGGAAAAGAUAGAUUAUCGAUCCUUAAUGGGUGACUUUUGUAACCAAUUAUUAGGGAGUUUUUCAACCCACGUGUCACCAUUUUAGGCAAAGUAUAUUUUUUGUUCUAUUUUCUUUUCACCAAAAUCAUAUUUCUUUUCUCUUCUUCAUCUCUGUGUUUCUCUUCGUGUUCUCCAUCACGACUGAGAAAUGAUCGAUACCGAUCGAAACCACCAACAAUCCUCCACCACCGAUCCUCCGUCUUCGCUCUCGUCUUCUCCUCUUCUCCGUGACAGAGGAAGCAUCGAAACCCACCACCGAUCGAGUUUCCUCAAAAAGGACGAUGACUCUCUCUCCUCGCGGCGUCUCCUCGGUCGUAAGUGAUGUUUCAGUUUCUCUUCUUCACAAGCAAAACCAAAACAGUUCGGUUCUGUUUUUGCUCUUGACGUAAUCUACUGAUUUUGCAUUAAUACCGAAUCAAUCUCUCUCGUUUCAUCAUUUAGUUUCCAAGGAAAGAAGAAAAGAAAAGUUUUUUGUUAGUUUUGCAUUCUGACUUGGAUCAACGAUCCUUUAGCUUUUACUCUUUCUGUGUUUACUGGUUAUAUAUGUGUAUACUUUGUUUUAAUGAUCGUUUUCAAUUCAACAGGACGACAAGGAACAUCUUUAUGUAUUGGCUUCGUCUCUACCAGAUAUAAUGGUAACAAACUAACUCUUUUGUAGUCAUGUUCUUUAAGUUCAUCUCGAGAGGGAAGUGUGAGUCUUUUAAGUGAUGUUUUAGUCUUCUUGUGUUGAUAAUUUUGACAGGGUUGAGGGCGAUGUGAACAAGCCGACAGGGUUGAGGUCGACAGUCAACCACUUCUUGAGUCUCGGUAAGUUUGCAAGAAUUGAUAUCAGUUUCAAUUUUUUUUUUCUUAAUUGAUUUAGUGUGGAUAGUAGUUAGGUUAAUAAAUGCUUGUUAGGUUGUGGUUAGCGAAUAUUCGUGUGAUGAAUGGUUGUGAUGUAUGGUUGUGAUGAAUGCUUGUCUGCUUAGGUAAUAAAUAAGUUAGAUACAUAUCUUUCUCAUCUCUAUUCAACUCAACUCAACUCAAAGAUCCUAUUAAAACCGUAUGCUUUCUUUCUUUCUUUUCAUCUUCUUACACAAUCUCUUUCUCUCUUUCUUCAAACACAUUGCUUCUGCUUUCUCUUUUCUCUUUCAUUCUAGUAUAUGGAUUCUACGGAUCCAAAUACUCAACCCUCCAAUUUUGUUGAUCUGUUGAACAGUCAACAAGACACUCCCUUUCCUUAUGCGAGUUUUUCACUCGAUGGGGAUAUCGGAUCAUCACAACUCCCUCUGUUCAGUACUCAAGCAACUGCAACGUCUAGCUUCUGUGAAGUCUCUCCUACACAGCGCAAAGAAAGAAAGAAAUGGAGUCUCUCGGAUGAUCUAGUGUUCAUUAGCACUUGGUUAAACACCAGCAAGGACCCUGUUGUGGGCAAUGAGCAGAAAGCAGGAGCUUUCUAGAAACGCAUUGCAGAUUACUAUGGAGCUAGUCCAAAGGUGAAAAGAGGUGAUAAGCGAGAGCCCAUUCAGUGUAAGCAAAGGUGGCAGAAACUGAACGAUCUUGUUUGCAAGUUUUGUGGAUGCUAUGCGGCUGCAACAAGACAGAAAACAAGUGGUCAGAAUGAGGCUGAUACUGUUAAACUGGCACAAGAAAUCUUCUACAACGAUCAUAAGAUCAAAUUCAACCUUCACCAUGCGUGGGAGGAGUUGAGGAACGACCAGAAAUGGUGUGAAGCUGCUCAAAAAAAAAAAAAAAAAAAACAUACCAUCUGAAUCUUUCCCUGUUUCGUAUAUUGGCACAUUUGACCACAAUUAGCAAACAUUCUCCCCAAUUGAUCUUGUAAAUUAUUAACUUUAAAAUAAUGGUGGGAUGUGGGAGUAAUGGCCUUAAACGGGUUUCCUAAAACUACGUCGUUCUCAUCUUCUUCUUCUUAUUCUUCUUAGCUCAAGUCGAGAUUUUCUGAUUCUCACCUAAAAGAAACUCUAAAGCGUAACUUCUUCUCAGCUGUUCUUGUCGUGAUAUAAAGGUACGAAUUCGAAUUGAAUUUAGGCAUUAUAUUUUUAUCUUUCGUGUCUUAGUUGAUGAUAUUGUGACUCUCUGAACAGUGUCAAGAUUAUAAUUGUAUAACAGGUGUCUUCCUACAGUAAAAAAAAUUUAAAAUAUAUUUAACAGAUAAAUAGAAAUUAUAUUUUAAAAUAAAAUUUUAUUAAUAUUGUAAAUUUUAUUUUUCGUAUCAAUAUUUUAAUAUAAAUUUGAUUUAAUUAAACAUAAAAAUUAUAUUUAAGAAUAUGCAUGUAUAUAUUUGAAAUUAUAAUCUUAAAUAGAUUUUUCUAUCUAUUUAUUUUAAUUAAAAUAAUGAUUUUACGAUUAAAUUUUUAUAAUUUUCUAAAAAAAUUGUAUAUAUUUUUGAAAAUUUUAAUGAUAAAAUUGUAUAAUUUAAAAAUAUAUAAUUAAAUUUCGAAAUUAUAAUACAGUAUUUUAAUAUAUUUAUUUUAAUGAUGAUUUAUGAGUUAUUCUCAUAUUCUAAAAAAUUUCCAAAAAUAUAAAUUGACAUUAAAUGUAAUAUAUGAGUUAUUACCAUAUUUUAAAAAGUUUACCAAAAAUAUAAAUUAACAUUAAAUGCAAUUAUCCAUAUCAUAUUAAGGUAUAAGACAUGUCAUCAAUUUCAGUAGUCAUGUUAUAUUUGUUUUGUGAAAUUGAUUGUAUAAAGAACACGUGGCAAAAUCACUUCGCAAAUAUAAUUUAGGAAAUGAUUGUAUAAAAGACAUGUGACAAAAUCACUUCGUUUUUCACCGCUAUAUUUUGGGCCUAGUUGCCUUUCUUUUAGCAAAUAAUGGGAAUACUGUUUUUGUGUUGACAUUGGUUGACUUGUGAAAUGAGGUGGAAGCAACCGGUGUUGGGAAGCUUACGAACAAGAGAAUAGUCAGUUUGAUUUGAUUAUUUCUCUUACAAGAUCCCUUUUAUAAUAUUCUUUAGAUGUUUACUCUCUCCUUUAUGUUUGUUUGCAAGGGAAAAGCAGCGGCGUCCAUGGGAAUGCGUGUUCUUUUAGACCAUAUUGCACAAGCACUUGAUCUGCAACAAUGAAAACCGUAAGAUUUAUCAUGACCAUAAUAAGCAUUAGGCUCGAUCAUCAUAUCAUGAAUUUUUUUUAUAUAUUACUGAUUCAAAUAAUUUUUAAAGUUUUGGAAAUAUAACUUUUCAUCGUAUUUUGUAUAUUGAACAAUGUAUAUAUGUUGUAUGUAUUACACACAGCAUAAUAAAACUACAUAUAUCUUCGUAAUAAUUGAUAAUUUGAUAUAUGUCAUAGCUUCAUAGAAACAAAUUAAAAUGAGCAAUUCCUAAAGCUAAAACUUACAUAAUAAAUAUAAUCUUUUCCAAAAAGAAGCACUUGCUGACGGAAGCAAGCAUUUGAUUAUAAAUAAGUGAUGUGCAAUCGAAUAAAAUUACAUUACAAAAAAAAUACUUUUAUCCUUUACAGAACAAAAACAAUGAGAUAAGACCAUGAUUAUCGGUAAUCCUUAAUGGGUUUCUUAGUGUUUUAAGGAUAUUUAAUUAAAUCAAAAUAAAGGAAAAGAUAGAUUAUCGAUCCUUAAUGGGUGACUUUUGUAACCAAUUAUUAGGGAGUUUUUCAACCCACGUGUCACCAUUUUAGGCAAAGUAUAUUUUUUGUUCUAUUUUCUUUUCACCAAAAUCAUAUUUCUUUUCUCUUCUUCAUCUCUGUGUUUCUCUUCGUGUUCUCCAUCACGACUGAGAAAUGAUCGAUACCGAUCGAAACCACCAACAAUCCUCCACCACCGAUCCUCCGUCUUCGCUCUCGUCUUCUCCUCUUCUCCGUGACAGAGGAAGCAUCGAAACCCACCACCGAUCGAGUUUCCUCAAAAAGGACGAUGACUCUCUCUCCUCGCGGCGUCUCCUCGGUCGUAAGUGAUGUUUCAGUUUCUCUUCUUCACAAGCAAAACCAAAACAGUUCGGUUCUGUUUUUGCUCUUGACGUAAUCUACUGAUUUUGCAUUAAUACCGAAUCAAUCUCUCUCGUUUCAUCAUUUAGUUUCCAAGGAAAGAAGAAAAGAAAAGUUUUUUGUUAGUUUUGCAUUCUGACUUGGAUCAACGAUCCUUUAGCUUUUACUCUUUCUGUGUUUACUGGUUAUAUAUGUGUAUACUUUGUUUUAAUGAUCGUUUUCAAUUCAACAGGACGACAAGGAACAUCUUUAUGUAUUGGCUUCGUCUCUACCAGAUAUAAUGGUAACAAACUAACUCUUUUGUAGUCAUGUUCUUUAAGUUCAUCUCGAGAGGGAAGUGUGAGUCUUUUAAGUGAUGUUUUAGUCUUCUUGUGUUGAUAAUUUUGACAGGGUUGAGGGCGAUGUGAACAAGCCGACAGGGUUGAGGUCGACAGUCAACCACUUCUUGAGUCUCGGUAAGUUUGCAAGAAUUGAUAUCAGUUUCAAUUUUUUUUUUCUUAAUUGAUUUAGUGUGGAUAGUAGUUAGGUUAAUAAAUGCUUGUUAGGUUGUGGUUAGCGAAUAUUCGUGUGAUGAAUGGUUGUGAUGUAUGGUUGUGAUGAAUGCUUGUCUGCUUAGGUAAUAAAUAAGUUAGAUACAUAUCUUUCUCAUCUCUAUUCAACUCAACUCAACUCAAAGAUCCUAUUAAAACCGUAUGCUUUCUUUCUUUCUUUUCAUCUUCUUACACAAUCUCUUUCUCUCUUUCUUCAAACACAUUGCUUCUGCUUUCUCUUUUCUCUUUCAUUCUAGUAUAUGGAUUCUACGGAUCCAAAUACUCAACCCUCCAAUUUUGUUGAUCUGUUGAACAGUCAACAAGACACUCCCUUUCCUUAUGCGAGUUUUUCACUCGAUGGGGAUAUCGGAUCAUCACAACUCCCUCUGUUCAGUACUCAAGCAACUGCAACGUCUAGCUUCUGUGAAGUCUCUCCUACACAGCGCAAAGAAAGAAAGAAAUGGAGUCUCUCGGAUGAUCUAGUGUUCAUUAGCACUUGGUUAAACACCAGCAAGGACCCUGUUGUGGGCAAUGAGCAGAAAGCAGGAGCUUUCUAGAAACGCAUUGCAGAUUACUAUGGAGCUAGUCCAAAGGUGAAAAGAGGUGAUAAGCGAGAGCCCAUUCAGUGUAAGCAAAGGUGGCAGAAACUGAACGAUCUUGUUUGCAAGUUUUGUGGAUGCUAUGCGGCUGCAACAAGACAGAAAACAAGUGGUCAGAAUGAGGCUGAUACUGUUAAACUGGCACAAGAAAUCUUCUACAACGAUCAUAAGAUCAAAUUCAACCUUCACCAUGCGUGGGAGGAGUUGAGGAACGACCAGAAAUGGUGUGAAGCUGCUUGUAGCAAGAUUGAUGGAACCGGUAAGAAGAGAAAGUGUGAUGGUGGAGCACAAUCAGAAAGCUCUCAAGCAACUUCCUCUCUCGGUGAUCAAGCAUCUCCACGUCCUCAUGGAGUUAAGGCAGCGAAAGGAGCAACUGGAAAGAGAAGUAUACCAGAUCAGGAGGCAGGGAAAGGAGCAGCUCACUUUAAGACCAUGUGGUCUAUUAAGGAGAAAGAUUUGGCCGUUAAAGAGAGACUUAAGAAGAUGGGAUUGCUUGACAGUCUCAUCUCCAAAAAUGAGCCACUUUCUGAAUUUUAAGAUGCUCUAAAGAAGAAUUUAAUUACAGAGAUGUUGAAUCUUUAGUGUGAACUCAUGUUUAAAUCCUAUCUAUGUUUAAUUUCAUCUUCUGUAUGUUUAAUCCUUGACAGUCUCUAUGUUUAAUCCUCUAAUUUCAAGUUUCAUAAUGUAUGUUUCAAGUUUAUGUUAUAUUAUGUGAUCUGUUUUGUUAGCUGUUCUGUUUUAUUAAAAAGUUAUGUGAGCUUUCUGUUUUAUUAAAAAGUUGUUAGCUGUUUCCGUUAGCUGUUUUGUUUAAUGUAUGUUUCAAGUUUUUUAUGUGAGCUUUCUGUUUUAUUAAAAAGUUAUAUGUGAAAUGUUAAGUGAAAUGUUAUAUUUGUUUAUGUGCAGUUAUGAGACAAAGAAGUCAGAAGACUUGGUCUCGGUUAUACGAGCAAGAGAGGUCACGAGAUGGUGUCGUUACUCAAGAGCAGUCACGAGAUUUGAUGUCGGAUUAGCUAGAGAGGUCACGGGAGUUAUUGUAGGAUUUGCAAGAGAGGUCACGAGAUGGUGGUGUAUAUGCGUGCCUGAGAUGGUUUUGUCACGAUAUGGUUUUGUAUGUGUUGUAUGUUUUGUCACGAGAUUGUUUUGUAUAAAGAAGACAAAGAGUGUUUGUGUUUUUUGUGUCACGAGAUGGUGUUUGUCAAACUCAUUGUAUCAAGUCAUCAAAACUCAUAUCUCUCUUGCUCUAUAUAAAUCAUCUCAUUGCUCAUAUCAAGUCAUCAAAACUCAUAUCAAGUCAUCAAAACUCAUAUCCCUCUUUCUCUCUUCUUCUAAUCUCCUUGAUUACCACAAAGCCAAGAUAUUAUUGAUCACCACAAAUCCAAACUCUUCUUCGCAUCACACAAACCCUUUCUUUCUUCUUCUAAUCUCCUUGAUCACCACAAACCCUUUCUACAAAACGUAAAACACAAACCGUACCCUUUCUACAAACCCUUUUUACAAAACACAAACCCUUUCUACAAAACGCAAACACAAACCCUUUUUAAAACAGUCUCAAUUAAGAAUAUAAGUUCUACGGCUUCUUCUUCUCAUAACACUUUUGAGGGAGUAGAUGAUGAAAGUUUUGAUAAUUAUUUUGAUCAAUAUUUUGAUCAAACAAUGGAGAAUUUGGCCAUUAAUUAUGGUGAUCAAGAAGUCGAAAUAAAUAGAAGAAAAAAACGAGUUCAUAUCGAAAGAAAGCGUGAAGAAGGCGAUCUACGUUUAUGGAAUGAUUAUUUCAGUGAAACUCCGACAUAUCCUGAUAAUCUAUUCCGACGACGAUUUAGAAUGAACAAGUCAUUGUUCAUGCGUAUUGUUGAUCGACUUUCCAAUGAAGUUGAAUACUUUCGACAAAAGAAAGAUGCUCUCGGAAGGCUUAGUCUCUCGCCACUUCAGAAGUGUACAGCAGCCAUUCGUGUAUUGGCCUAUGGUUCUGCGGCUGAUGCUGUUGACGAAUACCUUCGACUAGGUGCAACGACAGCUCGGUUAUGUGUGGAACAUUUUGUGGAAGGAAUAAUAUAUUUAUUCGGCGAUGAGUACCUAAGAAGACCAACACCGGCUGAUCUUCAACUUCUACUUUAUAUUGGUGAGCAAUGUGGCUUUCCCGGGAUGAUAGGGAGCAUCGAUUGUAUGCAUUGGGAGUGUUAGAGGCGGUUGCUUCGUAUGAUUUAUGGAUAUGGCAUGCGUUUUUUGGACCUCUAGAAUGAUAUCAAUGUUCUUGAUCGCUCACCUGUUUUUGAUGACAUAAUAAAAGGUCAAGCUCCGCAAGUUACUUUCUCUGUCAAUGGAAGAGAGUAUCAUUUGGCUUACUAUCUCACUGAUGGUAUUUAUCCGAAAUAGGUAACUUUUAUCCAAUCUAUUCCAAUGCCACAAGGUCCGAAAGCGGCUUUAUUUGCUCAACAUCAAGAAGAUGUCCGAAAAGAUGUCGAGCGUGCUUUUGGGGUCUUGCAAGCUCGAUUUGCCAUUGUUAAAAAUCCAGCAUUUUUUUUGGAUAAAGGCAAAAUUGGGAAGAUUAUGAGAGCAUGUAUCAUACUCCAUAAUAUGAUAGUAGAAGACGAACGAGAUGGAUACAUUCAUUUUGAUGUUUCGGAGUUCCAACAAGGAGAAGACACUGGAACUUCACAUGUCGAUCUCACGUAUUCUACAGAUAUCCCUUCAAAUAUCACCAAUAUGAUGGGUGUUCGAACAAGAAUUCAUGAUAGACAAAUGCAUCAACAGCUCAAAGCUGAUUUGGUUGAACAUAUAUGGCAUAAAUUUGGAAGUGAGGGAGACAACUACUGAGCUCGGAUGUUUUUCCAAAUUAUUCUCGAUUAUUGUACUAGUCUUUAUUUUUAUGUUUUUUUUAAAAAAAAAUCUAUGUUUUAGAUAUUAUCUUUUAAUAUGUUUGAAUUAAUAAAUAAUUUUUAUCUUUAAAAAAAAAAUUCUUAAGAACCCCUAAUUAAGAAACUCUCAUUGGACCGCUCCAAAUAGAAGUUUCUUAACUAUGGUUUUUAACCCCCCCUAAAUACAAUUAAAAUAUUAAAUAAUCACUAAGAAACACACUUAAAGAUCAAGUAAACAUGCUCUAAGUGACAUAAAGCAAAACUAGUUCUUCAAAAAGUUCUAGUACAACUCUAGUCACUGCUAUAUGGGAUCUGAGAAUGCAAGACUUCCUAACAAUUGUGAUACCAACCAUCUUAAAAAACAUCAACAUCGCUCUGAAGCAACAAGAUCCAAAUUUUAUUUGGAAGAACUAAUUGAUGUUGGUACUAUCAGACUUUUUUUUUUUUUUCUGUUAUCAAAUUUUCAAGCAUUCAAAUAGAAAACAUUAGAUGUCAAGCUAAAGAAAAAACAAAUGACUGUUAUAAGUUGUUGUAUGGGAUAAAAAUAGCAAUCGAUGUUAAAAGAAUUCCCAAUUUAGUGUUUUUCAAUUGACUUUUUAGCUUUCUCAAGUUUGUUCUACCUUAUUGUCAGAAUAAAAUUAUGAGAACAACAGAUUUAACUGACAUACAAGCAAUAUAUCUAAUAAAUUUUCAUGUUGAUCGAGUAUUUUCGAUAGUCACGUGUAUGUCAUUAAUAUCUGUUGUUCUUAUAAUUUUUCUGCCAAAAAAGAAAAAAGAAAAAAGAAAAACACAAUUGAGAAAGCUAAAAAAACAAUUGAAAAACAUUAAAUUGAGAUUUUUUUUUUUGAUUGCUAUUUUCACCCACUACGACGAACUUGUAACAGUCAUCUUGCUUUUUAUUAGCUUGACAUUGAAUGUUUUCUCUUUGGAUCCUUACGAAUUUGAUACCAAGAGGAAGAUAAAUUUGGGUGCACCAACGGCAGGUAGCUCUUCUCUUCCAAAUUUUUGUAAGAUCAUUGAUAUCAUACUCAUUAGUAAGUUUUGCAUUCUCGUAGUCCCAUAUGGCCGUUACUGGAGUUGAACUGAAACUCUUUGAAGAACCAGUUUUGAUUGAUGUCGCUUUGCUCUUUUAUUUUGUAGAGUAUGGAGGUUUUUUUUGUAACUUAGUUUUAGAGAAAGAUAAAAAUUUAUUUAAUUGCACAUCACUUUAUUUAUAGAGCACAUGUUUGGAAAGAAUUAUGUUAAUUAUAUAAGUUUUAGCUUUAUGAAUUUUUAAUUUGUCUUAUGAAGCUAGGACAAUAACUAUUACGAAUUGUACCCCAAAAAAAUAACUAUUACGAAGAUAGUUGUAGUUUUGCUAAACUGUUGGUAAUACACAAAACAUAUAAUACAAUGUUAUAUAAAAGAUACAAUGAACAGGUCAUUAUAUUUUCAAAGUUAAAAAAAAUAUUUGCAUCCAUAAUGUAUAAAAAAAUGCAUGAUAUGAUGAUCGAGCUUCAUGCUAAUUAGGAACAAGAGAUUUGUCAGUUUGAUUGGUUGUUGCGCGUAAGGAGAUGAGAGAUUGUUGGUAGCAGAGUAUAUGCCCUCUUCUUUCUAUGUUUGUUUGCAGGGAAACGCAGCCACUUCCAUGGAAAAUUCCUGUUUGAAUCGCGGACCCUAUUGCACAAGCACUGCAACAACGAAAAAGAUCUAUGCGUACAUAAUCCUCUUUGACGAGGAAGGUGAUCCUCGUCUAUCUACUUUUGGUCUUAUGGAGAACAGUAGGGAUGGUAAAAGCUAUAGUACACUCCACCUGAGUCUUUACGGACAGGUAACAACAACAUUCUUGACUUGUGAAUCUCACUCCAAGACAAACCAAUUCUUUAUUUGAAGAUCUGCUCUUUUUGCAGGCAGACUCAUUCCUGGAAGGGUGAUCUUCAGUUUAUGGAACUAUGCAUUUAGAUCUUUUAAGCGGAAAACACAUUCCACCUACCUAUGUAUGUGCCGUGCCUCUCACUUAUGCACAGUAUCUUUUUGUCAAUUGGCUUAGCAUUUUCUGUAUGGUUUCUUAUUUAAAUUAGUUUAUGAUGUUCAUAUUUAGGCUCUUGAUAUAAUAAGGGGGAAGAACGCAUUGCUAUUGAUGGAUUCAUCUCUCGGCAAUAUGAGAAUGAUGAUGCGAGUAAACUAGUUGACCUUGCUUCAAAAUGCCUUCAAUCAGAGGCAAAGGAUCGACCUGACACCAAGUUUCUUCUCUCUGCAGUGGCACCACUGCAAAAUUAAGAAGAAAGAGGUUUGGAAAAAAAAAACAUUCCUGAAACUGACAAUAUCUUGAAUAUCAUAUAAUCCAAAAUGUUUAUUUUGGUUUCACUUUUGUUGCUUAUGUUGCAUGUAUUAAUGGGCUUGCUUAAAACUGGUUACAAAGAUGAGGAAGGUGCAGAAAAUGCACCAGACGUUCUUUCUCCUACUUAGUGACAGACCAACAGGAGCUUGCAUUAAGAGAUGCAAUGCAGGCUCAUGUCAGAAUAAAUAAAAAAGGCAAUCCAAGUUUCACAUUGGAUAUUAGACAAAAUAAAGUUUAAUAUAUAUAGCUGGUCCAAUUUCACUUAGUAUGAGACCUUUUGGGAGUAACGACCCAAAAACAAAUCCGUGAGGACUUAAGUCCAAAGCGGACAAUAUCAUACUAAGCGAGGGAUUGGACAUCUGGUGACGGACGUCUGCUCUAGUUGAGCGUCUGGCCUCCAGCACGGGCAUCCGGUCUGGCUCUAGUAGAGCAUCUGGCCCAGGAAUGCAUCUGGUCCGUCACAACAGUUGGUAUCAGAGCCAAGGUUUUGUGGUCCUUGGUUUGAGGGGAGGAUUGUCAGAAUAAAUAAAAAAGGCAAUCCAAGUCCCACAUUGGAUAUUAGACAAAAUAAAAUCUAAUAUAUAUAGCUGGUCCAAUUUCAUUUAGUAUGAGGCCUUUUGGGAGUAACAACCCAAAAACAAAUCCGUGAGGGCUUAGGCCCAAAGUGGACAAUAUCAUACUAAGCGAGGGAUUGGACAUUUGGUGACGGACAUUUUCUCUAGUUGAGCGUCUGGCCUCCAGCACGGACAUCCGGUCUGGCUCUAGUAGAGCAUCUGGCCCAGGAGUGCAUUUGGUCCGUCACAACAGCUCAGGUGUGCAUACCAUAAUUAGCGCUCUCCAAGCUCGGAAUGGAGACAGAUGCUCAAGAUAUGCGCAGUGAUGGCGCAGCCUAUGAUGCCAAGCGACAGAAUAGCCGACGGUCCAAAUAUUUAUUGGUUUUUUCAGACAGUUGCUGAAAUGUAUGUGUAUGCGUGUAAGAGAGUAACUGGAGUGUUUGUUUACUUUUGUGCAUCUUUGAGAAAGUUCAAAUCAUUUGAGGGAAAAAGAGAAAACAAGACUGCAAAUAACUAAUUUGAUUCCUUCUUCCUUGUGAUAAUACAAAAAUAUUGAAACUAUAAAAGAAGAUUCAAUAUGUUAUUACAGUAUAUCGAACCAUUUGGCCCAUGCACGAAUAUCGACUGAUGAGUAUUCAGAACAAGGAUUAUAUAGUUACAAGGUUAUAAGAACUUUACAUUUUUGAUCAAAUUAUAUAAUGUUUUAUUUGUUUCUAAUCUUGAUGAGAAUUCAAUAUGUUUAAUCACAUUGUGUUAUGCCGUGUGGAUAAGAAGAGUGAGCUCAAGACUAAUUCGAAAAGAAAUGUAAAUGAACAAACACUUGGAUCAGGAGAAAGUUCAGGUUAUUCGAGUCUAGUGACUUCACCUAGUUGUGAUGUAACGAUGCCUUUUCACUCAUUUGGCAAUCCGGUUUCUACUGAAAACGACUCUUCCAGCAUUUGGAUUUCACCUGAUUUCAUUCUUGAUUCUUCAAAAGUAUAUACUAUACAAUUCUAUAUUGACCAUAGCUAAACCAUAGCAGGGCUUUGUUUAGCUAAUACCGGUUUGAUUUUCUUUGUAGGACUAUCCUUAAAUGCAAGAUGUUGCAGCUGAGUACUUUCGAGAUAUUGAUUCCCAGGUUAUUGGUAAUAAUAACGUGGGUUUUCCAGCGAGUACGUUGCAUACCAAUGUAGACCAGAACAUGGAUGAAUCUUUGCAAAUUGAUUAUUGGAGAUACUCAAACUUCCCCUAGAUGGACUAAUAUUGAAGUCACUUUUGUAAGACAAAAACGCCUUUUAACGUUUGAGUCUUCAAACCUUUAGCAUUGGUCUAUAUGGUAUGGUUAAUUAGUUGUUCUAUUAUUCUUUCAUUUUAUUACUUUUAUUUUUAUGGUUUUGUUAUAUUAAUCUCUUAUAUACUAAAGGAAAAGUAUUGUAAUAAAUACGUUCACACUAAACUGGACACAUGUCACGUGUAGAAACAUUGUAAUAAAUGUGUUCACACUAAAAUGGAUACAUGUCACAUGCAGAGAGCUUUUCAGACAAACUCUACAUAAAUAUGUUCACACUAUGUACUUUACGUUUUUUAAUAUAAAACUCACAUGCGUGGUUCUUCUUCAUUACGUUAGUUUUACUGUUUACGAAUAGAGCUGGACAAAUUAUUCAUAAAUUUUGAUUUGAUUUGUUAUCCGUUUUGAUUCGAACGGAAAAAUCCGGAUAUCUGUUACUCUACAAAGCAAAUCAAAUACUAAAAUGCAAUAUUCGUAAAAAAAAAUAGAAGCAAAUCACAAAUAUCAAUAUUUAUAGGAACGGAUAUCCAAUUUGAUCUGUAAAAAAAAAGCAAAUAACAAAUAUCAAUAUUUAUAGGAACGGAUAUCCAAUUUGAUCUGUGAUAUGCAUAUAUAUAUAUAUAUAUAUACAUAUAUUUAAAGAAUUAUAUAUAAGUUAUAUAUUAUAGUUUAUAUAAAUUUUAUGAUAUUUUUGUUUUUAAAUAAUUUCAUUUUAAAAUUUUUAUUUUUCAUGUAUUAUUUUGAAAAAAUGUCAUUUAAUAUUAGUUAACAGUAUCUUUAUAUAUUUAUCAACCAUCUUUAUAUACUUUUACGUACACAUACAUGUGCACAUUGACGUGAGCACCUUUUAACUAAAUAUUUACCACAACUGAAAUAUCUAAUUUUUUUUAAAGUUAAAAAAUUCUUUUUAUUAAUGCUUCUUUCACUAUCAACCAAAUUGUAGUAAAAUGAUUUGUCUUAAUAAUUUUUUUUUUUAACUGUUAUCCGUUUAGGAACUAUAAUAUAAAACUAUUGGUUCGACAUCACGACUAUCUAAGAUUCAUAACAUGAAAACAAACAAAUAAUAGUACUUUUUGAUUAUCACAUAAAAAAAACAUCAAACAUUUUAACCAAACAAACCAAAUAAAUACUGAUUUAAAAUGAUAGUUAUAUUUUAGGAGAUUAAAAACCGAAAAAUAACCUAAAACCGAACCGAUAUCCAGAUUAAACAGAUUAAUAUCUCCUUAUUAAAAAAUAACGAAACUAAUAAUCAUAUUCCGCGCAACGCGCGGGUUAUUACCUGAUGUUUAUUGUUACGUAUCUGAUGCUGUAUUUUGUUUUCUCUAUGGACUUUAUUCAGUAGGAAUAUGUGUUAUUUUUUUUUAUUUUUUUUUUGAUAAUCCAGGGUUCCCCACUUACGUGGGUCAUUCCCUGGGCCUGGUUAGACAACGGUCCACUUCACCCGGGAGGGCUAUACCUGGGCUGGAGACAAGGCUCAACACCCAAUACUGCAUUUGAUGACAAGAUGGGCAGUUCUCCUCCGCAUGGCGUCGAACCGGGAGCAUGACAAUUGGCCCCCAAGGUCCUUACCAAACGAGCUACCACAUCCCGUCAGGGAUAUGUGUUAUUGCCAUCCUUAAUUAUAUAUAUGUAACGAUCUCUCUUUUCUACAAAAAUGAUUAAAUGAACCACCCUAUCUAAAGAUCAUUUUUUCUUGACGUCACUAAUCUUAAAACAAAACAUUUUGUGCAAGUGAUAAGUUGAUAGCUAUGAUUCUACGUAGAAAUCAUUUUUUUAGAAAAAGGAAUGAUAGGGGACCAUAUAUUGUAUAUAACAUUUAUAAUGUGAUUUAAUCUAAAGUAGACUUUGACCCGUGCAUAAGCAUGGAUGACUCUAAAAGGAUGAUUAACUACAGUCUUUUAGUCGGGGUUCUUAAUUCAUGAUUUGACAUUUUUUUUUUUUUUUUACAUUUUUCGAUUAAGAGAUGGCUUUUAUAUAUCUUAUUUAAGAGACAGCUCUUAUAUCUCUUAUUUAAGAGACGACUCUUAGUUUUUCUUAGUUUAAAUCUAAGAAAAACUAAGAAUUGUCUCCUAACCGAAACUAAGAAUCUCAGUUAAGAGAUUGGGUUAAUCAUGGUAUUAGGCUCUAAAGAUUGAUUUUUUUUCCAAAACUUUCUUUUCAAACUUGUUACACCUUAACGCCUUCUAUCAAAAAUAAAGCUUAUUGCACCUCAUCAAUGGUUUAUCUUUUUUUUUUGAACUGUCAUCAAUGGUUUAUUACGCUCUGUAUGCCUCAUAAAGCUGACGUGCAAUCCAUCCUGCAAACACCAAACCCGAUUCACAUUUUCUCCAACAUAAUCAACACAUCAUUAAACUAUGUACGGCCUUGCUAUUUCAUUACCUUACAUACAAACAUGCGGUUUAAAUGACAUUUUAAAAUACAAACAUCUGUAAUGGACGUCAAAAUUUUCUAAAGUACGCGCGGCUCUUUGGUUCAGUACAUGGUCAAAGGCACUGAGAAGCUUCCUGCUAAGGUAACAUAACAUAAUAUCCCUAAUGGUAUCUCAAGAUUAUUGAUUCUUACCGGAGAAAUUGAAACUUGAUGAAUAGGUUCGUAGGUUCCAGAGUCCUAAUGAACAUCCUUUCUUUCCAGACUAUUUGCCAGAGCCUAUGUUGCCAGCUCUGCAGUGCCCAAAGGUGCUUACGUGAAUUUAAGAUUGAGGCUUUAGUGGACUUUUCAUGGGUUAUUACGUCUUAUUAAUGUGAUUUCUGUAUAAACUCUUCUUAUUCGAGCUGUGUUUUGAAGUUUUAUACUACAUGAUAAGGGAUUCAGUUUUGUAUCUUAUCAAGUAGGUUUGCAUUUUGCUGCUGAUUCUUUUUUUUUAUAUCAACAUAAACAAUAAGAUAUGGAACAUGUAGUUUAGAAAUUAAUGACGUCCAUUACAAAAUGAUGUUUGUAUUUUAUAAUUUAGAGAUUAAGAUAUUGAGCUGUCUACGUUUUAACCAAACAUGGAUACAAACUUUCAGAUCAUGUGUCCAUAUAUCCAUAUCAUACUUAUCCCAAAAUAUAUUCUUCUCAAUUCCUAAAUCAAAAUAUAGUUUCUCUAGCUAGAACAUGAUGGGAUCAACAGUAAAUCAAAAAUGGAGGAAGAAACAAACAUAGACCAUCUCCAAUUGGUUAGAACUCAUCAUGGAUUCUAAUGAUUAAAUUAAUUGUAAAUUUUGUAAUUUGUGAAGUUUAGAACUCCUUGUAAUUUAUCAUGUCCAAUGGUAGAACUUUUUUGAAGUUUUUAAGAGAGAAAGAGACAACAAAGAAAGAGAAAGGCAAUGGAGAAAAAGAUAUACACACAAAAUGAGCCAAUAAGAAAAUGACACUUUAGAGGUUAUUACCAAUUCUAAAAACUUUAUUUUAAUAACAUGUGCUUAGCCUUUUAUUUCUUUUUGAUUUAUGUUUUGAACUUUUUUUUAAAGAACUACUCCUUAACACCAUCCAUUGGAGGUGCUCUUAGCAUUGGCGAUAUUGAAGAGGUGAAGUGAAUCAUCCUCACUGGAUUCUCUCCAUGCACAUCCAAAAUUGAAACUCCAUGAUUAAUAAUUUCAAAAACUGGAUUUACGCAACGUUAAAGAGAUUAAUAUGAAAUCAAAAGAGGAUAAUAAGAAGAAUAGUUCGUAUGAAAUCAGAGAAGACUGCUCUGAUGACAAUCAUGCGUACCAGUCGGUCGUCUUGAAGCACAAGAAAAUCCAAGAGCUAGAGGCGAACUACCAAGAGAGAACGAAUACCAUAGGAACGGUGUUAAUUUGAGUACCUAGCUAAUUGUUUAUAGAUACAAAAAAUAUUCAUUAUGGAAUACAUUUUAUUAUUAGGAAAAUAAACUAUAUACUCGUUUGAAGUCACGAUUUCUGGAAAUGGUCCCAAACUAAAAAAAUCACACAUUAAAAAAUGUUGUGAUUUUACAAUGUGAUUUUUAAUAACAUAUUAAUAAUAUACACAAAGAAGAAAUAACAACUUGGGUCCAUAGCUCAGUGGUAGAGCAAUUUACUGCAGAUCAAUAGGUUACUGGUUCGAACCCCGGUUGGGCCCUAACUCUUUUGUUGUUUUAUUUCGAAAUUUUGCUUUUAGUUAUAAAAAUGUUCUUUCUAUAAAUUAACCCUCGCAAAUUACCAGCUAUACACAAAAUUCCGGUUCCUUACUUUUCUAAUCUUUGUAUUUACGUAACUGUAAGUUUCAAAUAAAGUUUAUAACUUCCUUGUUUAAUCCUUUUAGUCCUUUUUAAUACAUAAUAUAUAAUUAACACUACAACAAAUAUUAUACAAAGAUUAUAUUAUAGCCAACAAAUACUUGUACAACAAUAAAAUCAAAAUUUGUUAACAACAUUUUAAUUUUUCGUGCAUUUUUUUAAGUGCUAAUUUAUUUAAAUUUAAUGAUUUAGUUUUACGUUUUUAUUUAUAUGCAAUGUUUUACUAUAAUAUAAUAUCUUCUUUAUUAAUUUUGUUUUAUAAAACUUUUGUUAGAUAUUUUAUAGUUAUUGUAAAAGACUUAUGUUUUUAGUUAAGUAUUGUUAAACAUAAGAAUUAUUAUGUAAAAUAUAAAAGUUUUAAGAUUUAUAUAUAUAAAGUUGGUUUUUUCCCCUUUCUGACAAGUGGCAGGGGUUUUUGCGAUACGUAUCAUCCGUGUAUUUCUUUUACAUUUUAGGACCUUUUUUUUUUAGAUUAUUGCAAUUUGGCCAAAUACUUACUAAUCAUGGACUACCUAAUUCAUUUCGCACUAACUAUUAUCGUAUGAAGUUUGAUAAUCUAUUUUAUUGUUAACUAAAAUUCAAGAUGAAUAAAGAAAUAAAUAAAAUAAUAAAAAUAUAUUUUACAUAUUUAAUUUAUUCACAACUAAACAUAACAUAAAUUUUUUUAUUUUAUUAUUUUUUACCAUUUUCUAUUAUUUAAUUUACAAAUUAUAUAUUUAUUUAAUUAUUAAAAAUAUAAAAUGACCAAANNNNNNNNNNNNNNNNNNNNNNNNNNNNNNNNNNNNNNNNNNNNNNNNNNNNNNNNNNNNNNNNNNNNNNNNNNNNNNNNNNNNNNNNNNNNNNNNNNNNNNNNNNNNNNNNNNNNNNNNNNNNNNNNNNNNNNNNNNNNNNNNNNNNNNNNNNNNNNNNNNNNNNNNNNNNNNNNNNNNNNNNNNNNNNNNNNNNNNNNNNNNNNNNNNNNNNNNNNNNNNNNNNNNNNNNNNNNNNNNNNNNNNNNNNNNNNNNNNNNNNNNNNNNNNNNNNNNNNNNNNNNNNNNNNNNNNNNNNNNNNNNNNNNNNNNNNNNNNNNNNNNNNNNNNNNNNNNNNNNNNNNNNNNNNNNNNNNNNNNNNNNNNNNNNNNNNNNNNNNNNNNNNNNNNNNNNNNNNNNNNNNNNNNNNNNNNNNNNNNNNNNNNNNNNNNNNNNNNNNNNNNNNNNNNNNNNNNNNNNNNNNNNNNNNNNNNNNNNNNNNNNNNNNNNNNNNNNNNNNNNNNNNNNNNNNNNNNNNNNNNNNNNNNNNNNNNNNNNNNNNNNNNNNNNNNNNNNNNNNNNNNNNNNNNNNNNNNNNNNNNNNNNNNNNNNNNNNNNNNNNNNNNNNNNNNNNNNNNNNNNNNNNNNNNNNNNNNNNNNNNNNNNNNNNNNNNNNNNNNNNNNNNNNNNNNNNNNNNNNNNNNNNNNNNNNNNNNNNNNNNNNNNNNNNNNNNNNNNNNNNNNNNNNNNNNNNNNNNNNNNNNNNNNNNNNNNNNNNNNNNNNNNNNNNNNNNNNNNNNNNNNNNNNNNNNNNNNNNNNNNNNNNNNNNNNNNNNNNNNNNNNNNNNNNNNNNNNNNNNNNNNNNNNNNNNNNNNNNNNNNNNNNNNNNNNNNNNNNNNNNNNNNNNNNNNNNNNNNNNNNNNNNNNNNNNNNNNNNNNNNNNNNNNNNNNNNNNNNNNNNNNNNNNNNNNNNNNNNNNNNNNNNNNNNNNNNNNNNNNNNNNNNNNNNNNNNNNNNNNNNNNNNNNNNNNNNNNNNNNNNNNNNNNNNNNNNNNNNNNNNNNNNNNNNNNNNNNNNNNNNNNNNNNNNNNNNNNNNNNNNNNNNNNNNNNNNNNNNNNNNNNNNNNNNNNNNNNNNNNNNNNNNNNNNNNNNNNNNNNNNNNNNNNNNNNNNNNNNNNNNNNNNNNNNNNNNNNNNNNNNNNNNNNNNNNNNNNNNNNNNNNNNNNNNNNNNNNNNNNNNNNNNNNNNNNNNNNNNNNNNNNNNNNNNNNNNNNNNNNNNNNNNNNNNNNNNNNNNNNNNNNNNNNNNNNNNNNNNNNNNNNNNNNNNNNNNNNNNNNNNNNNNNNNNNNNNNNNNNNNNNNNNNNNNNNNNNNNNNNNNNNNNNNNNNNNNNNNNNNNNNNNNNNNNNNNNNNNNNNNNNNNNNNNNNNNNNNNNNNNNNNNNNNNNNNNNNNNNNNNNNNNNNNNNNNNNNNNNNNNNNNNNNNNNNNNNNNNNNNNNNNNNNNNNNNNNNNNNNNNNNNNNNNNNNNNNNNNNNNNNNNNNNNNNNNNNNNNNNNNNNNNNNNNNNNNNNNNNNNNNNNNNNNNNNNNNNNNNNNNNNNNNNNNNNNNNNNNNNNNNNNNNNNNNNNNNNNNNNNNNNNNNNNNNNNNNNNNNNNNNNNNNNNNNNNNNNNNNNNNNNNNNNNNNNNNNNNNNNNNNNNNNNNNNNNNNNNNNNNNNNNNNNNNNNNNNNNNNNNNNNNNNNNNNNNNNNNNNNNNNNNNNNNNNNNNNNNNNNNNNNNNNNNNNNNNNNNNNNNNNNNNNNNNNNNNNNNNNNNNNNNNNNNNNNNNNNNNNNNNNNNNNNNNNNNNNNNNNNNNNNNNNNNNNNNNNNNNNNNNNNNNNNNNNNNNNNNNNNNNNNNNNNNNNNNNNNNNNNNNNNNNNNNNNNNNNNNNNNNNNNNNNNNNNNNNNNNNNNNNNNNNNNNNNNNNNNNNNNAAAAAAAAGCAAAUAACAAAUAUCAAUAUUUAUAGGAACGGAUAUCCAAUUUGAUCUGUGAAUUGCAUAUAUAUAUAUAUAUAUAUACAUAUAUUUAAAGAAUUAUAUAUAAGUUAUAUAUUAUAGUUUAUAUAAAUUUUAUGAUAUUUUUGUUUUUAAAUAAUUUCAUUUUAAAAUUUUUAUUUUUCAUGUAUUAUUUUGAAAAAAUGUCAUUUAAUAUUAGUUAACAGUAUCUUUAUAUAUUUAUCAACCAUCUUUAUAUACUUUUACGUACACAUACAUGUGCACAUUGACGUGAGCACCUUUUAACUAAAUAUUUACCACAACUGAAAUAUCUAAUUUUUUUUAAAGUUAAAAAAUUCUUUUUAUUAAUGCUUCUUUCACUAUCAACCAAAUUGUAGUAAAAUGAUUUGUCUUAAUAAUUUUUUUUUUUAACUGUUAUCCGUUUAGGAACUAUAAUAUAAAACUAUUGGUUCGACAUCACGACUAUCUAAGAUUCAUAACAUGAAAACAAACAAAUAAUAGUACUUUUUGAUUAUCACAUAAAAAAAACAUCAAACAUUUUAACCAAACAAACCAAAUAAAUACUGAUUUAAAAUGAUAGUUAUAUUUUAGGAGAUUAAAAACCGAAAAAUAACCUAAAACCGAACCGAUAUCCAGAUUAAACAGAUUAAUAUCUCCUUAUUAAAAAAUAACGAAACUAAUAAUCAUAUUCCGCGCAACGCGCGGGUUAUUACCUGAUGUUUAUUGUUACGUAUCUGAUGCUGUAUUUUGUUUUCUCUAUGGACUUUAUUCAGUAGGAAUAUGUGUUAUUUUUUUUUAUUUUUUUUUUGAUAAUCCAGGGUUCCCCACUUACGUGGGUCAUUCCCUGGGCCUGGUUAGACAACGGUCCACUUCACCCGGGAGGGCUAUACCUGGGCUGGAGACAAGGCUCAACACCCAAUACUGCAUUUGAUGACAAGAUGGGCAGUUCUCCUCCGCAUGGCGUCGAACCGGGAGCAUGACAAUUGGCCCCCAAGGUCCUUACCAAACGAGCUACCACAUCCCGUCAGGGAUAUGUGUUAUUGCCAUCCUUAAUUAUAUAUAUGUAACGAUCUCUCUUUUCUACAAAAAUGAUUAAAUGAACCACCCUAUCUAAAGAUCAUUUUUUCUUGACGUCACUAAUCUUAAAACAAAACAUUUUGUGCAAGUGAUAAGUUGAUAGCUAUGAUUCUACGUAGAAAUCAUUUUUUUAGAAAAAGGAAUGAUAGGGGACCAUAUAUUGUAUAUAACAUUUAUAAUGUGAUUUAAUCUAAAGUAGACUUUGACCCGUGCAUAAGCAUGGAUGACUCUAAAAGGAUGAUUAACUACAGUCUUUUAGUCGGGGUUCUUAAUUCAUGAUUUGACAUUUUUUUUUUUUUUUUACAUUUUUCGAUUAAGAGAUGGCUUUUAUAUAUCUUAUUUAAGAGACAGCUCUUAUAUCUCUUAUUUAAGAGACGACUCUUAGUUUUUCUUAGUUUAAAUCUAAGAAAAACUAAGAAUUGUCUCCUAACCGAAACUAAGAAUCUCAGUUAAGAGAUUGGGUUAAUCAUGGUAUUAGGCUCUAAAGAUUGAUUUUUUUUCCAAAACUUUCUUUUCAAACUUGUUACACCUUAACGCCUUCUAUCAAAAAUAAAGCUUAUUGCACCUCAUCAAUGGUUUAUCUUUUUUUUUUGAACUGUCAUCAAUGGUUUAUUACGCUCUGUAUGCCUCAUAAAGCUGACGUGCAAUCCAUCCUGCAAACACCAAACCCGAUUCACAUUUUCUCCAACAUAAUCAACACAUCAUUAAACUAUGUACGGCCUUGCUAUUUCAUUACCUUACAUACAAACAUGCGGUUUAAAUGACAUUUUAAAAUACAAACAUCUGUAAUGGACGUCAAAAUUUUCUAAAGUACGCGCGGCUCUUUGGUUCAGUACAUGGUCAAAGGCACUGAGAAGCUUCCUGCUAAGGUAACAUAACAUAAUAUCCCUAAUGGUAUCUCAAGAUUAUUGAUUCUUACCGGAGAAAUUGAAACUUGAUGAAUAGGUUCGUAGGUUCCAGAGUCCUAAUGAACAUCCUUUCUUUCCAGACUAUUUGCCAGAGCCUAUGUUGCCAGCUCUGCAGUGCCCAAAGGUGCUUACGUGAAUUUAAGAUUGAGGCUUUAGUGGACUUUUCAUGGGUUAUUACGUCUUAUUAAUGUGAUUUCUGUAUAAACUCUUCUUAUUCGAGCUGUGUUUUGAAGUUUUAUACUACAUGAUAAGGGAUUCAGUUUUGUAUCUUAUCAAGUAGGUUUGCAUUUUGCUGCUGAUUCUUUUUUUUUAUAUCAACAUAAACAAUAAGAUAUGGAACAUGUAGUUUAGAAAUUAAUGACGUCCAUUACAAAAUGAUGUUUGUAUUUUAUAAUUUAGAGAUUAAGAUAUUGAGCUGUCUACGUUUUAACCAAACAUGGAUACAAACUUUCAGAUCAUGUGUCCAUAUAUCCAUAUCAUACUUAUCCCAAAAUAUAUUCUUCUCAAUUCCUAAAUCAAAAUAUAGUUUCUCUAGCUAGAACAUGAUGGGAUCAACAGUAAAUCAAAAAUGGAGGAAGAAACAAACAUAGACCAUCUCCAAUUGGUUAGAACUCAUCAUGGAUUCUAAUGAUUAAAUUAAUUGUAAAUUUUGUAAUUUGUGAAGUUUAGAACUCCUUGUAAUUUAUCAUGUCCAAUGGUAGAACUUUUUUGAAGUUUUUAAGAGAGAAAGAGACAACAAAGAAAGAGAAAGGCAAUGGAGAAAAAGAUAUACACACAAAAUGAGCCAAUAAGAAAAUGACACUUUAGAGGUUAUUACCAAUUCUAAAAACUUUAUUUUAAUAACAUGUGCUUAGCCUUUUAUUUCUUUUUGAUUUAUGUUUUGAACUUUUUUUUAAAGAACUACUCCUUAACACCAUCCAUUGGAGGUGCUCUUAGCAUUGGCGAUAUUGAAGAGGUGAAGUGAAUCAUCCUCACUGGAUUCUCUCCAUGCACAUCCAAAAUUGAAACUCCAUGAUUAAUAAUUUCAAAAACUGGAUUUACGCAACGUUAAAGAGAUUAAUAUGAAAUCAAAAGAGGAUAAUAAGAAGAAUAGUUCGUAUGAAAUCAGAGAAGACUGCUCUGAUGACAAUCAUGCGUACCAGUCGGUCGUCUUGAAGCACAAGAAAAUCCAAGAGCUAGAGGCGAACUACCAAGAGAGAACGAAUACCAUAGGAACGGUGUUAAUUUGAGUACCUAGCUAAUUGUUUAUAGAUACAAAAAAUAUUCAUUAUGGAAUACAUUUUAUUAUUAGGAAAAUAAACUAUAUACUCGUUUGAAGUCACGAUUUCUGGAAAUGGUCCCAAACUAAAAAAAUCACACAUUAAAAAAUGUUGUGAUUUUACAAUGUGAUUUUUAAUAACAUAUUAAUAAUAUACACAAAGAAGAAAUAACAACUUGGGUCCAUAGCUCAGUGGUAGAGCAAUUUACUGCAGAUCAAUAGGUUACUGGUUCGAACCCCGGUUGGGCCCUAACUCUUUUGUUGUUUUAUUUCGAAAUUUUGCUUUUAGUUAUAAAAAUGUUCUUUCUAUAAAUUAACCCUCGCAAAUUACCAGCUAUACACAAAAUUCCGGUUCCUUACUUUUCUAAUCUUUGUAUUUACGUAACUGUAAGUUUCAAAUAAAGUUUAUAACUUCCUUGUUUAAUCCUUUUAGUCCUUUUUAAUACAUAAUAUAUAAUUAACACUACAACAAAUAUUAUACAAAGAUUAUAUUAUAGCCAACAAAUACUUGUACAACAAUAAAAUCAAAAUUUGUUAACAACAUUUUAAUUUUUCGUGCAUUUUUUUAAGUGCUAAUUUAUUUAAAUUUAAUGAUUUAGUUUUACGUUUUUAUUUAUAUGCAAUGUUUUACUAUAAUAUAAUAUCUUCUUUAUUAAUUUUGUUUUAUAAAACUUUUGUUAGAUAUUUUAUAGUUAUUGUAAAAGACUUAUGUUUUUAGUUAAGUAUUGUUAAACAUAAGAAUUAUUAUGUAAAAUAUAAAAGUUUUAAGAUUUAUAUAUAUAAAGUUGGUUUUUUCCCCUUUCUGACAAGUGGCAGGGGUUUUUGCGAUACGUAUCAUCCGUGUAUUUCUUUUACAUUUUAGGACCUUUUUUUUUUAGAUUAUUGCAAUUUGGCCAAAUACUUACUAAUCAUGGACUACCUAAUUCAUUUCGCACUAACUAUUAUCGUAUGAAGUUUGAUAAUCUAUUUUAUUGUUAACUAAAAUUCAAGAUGAAUAAAGAAAUAAAUAAAAUAAUAAAAAUAUAUUUUACAUAUUUAAUUUAUUCACAACUAAACAUAACAUAAAUUUUUUUAUUUUAUUAUUUUUUACCAUUUUCUAUUAUUUAAUUUACAAAUUAUAUAUUUAUUUAAUUAUUAAAAAUAUAAAAUGACCAAACUAAUAAGAAGAAAUUAGAGUGCAAUACAUAAUCUAUACAUAAACUUCCACAGUCAGAGAGAAAAAGUAAAAUAUCAUAUUAACACUAACUCAAUAAAUAUUUAGAGCUGAAAAAAGAUCAACAAAGAAGACUAGCCUAUCUCAUCUUACCAUAAAGUGUCUUCACUGGAACAAGAAGAUUUCAGAAAAAGGUAAAAAAAUAAAAUAUGAGAUAAAACAAUCCUCAAAACACAAAGGAUCGAGAUCAAGCACCAUCGCAAAAAAACCAAAAAAGCGGACCAAAGAAAGAAUAAUCAUCGGAAGAACAAAGUCACCAUAAAACAAAAAGACGCAUGUCUAAAGCACCGAAAAUACAACCACCAGCUAAGAGAUAAGAAACACCUCACAAACUAAACAAGCACAUACAAGGAACUCAUGCCAGCGAAGAACCAAAAAACUCUGAAUAGAAGAAAUCAAAGCUCCAAAAGACUAACUCCGCACACCUACACCAAAGGAUGCAUGAGAAGAAGAUAAACAACCUGGAUGGGAGAGAAUGGAAGCCAACCACCGAGAAACCAAAGCUGAAGCUUGAGACCAUAAACAACCUUCCAAGUGUACAAAGCAUACACAGAGAAAAACACUAUCUAAACCUGGAGUAGCAAAUAUGGUGAAAGGGAGAGCCACAAGAGACGUGAUCAGCGAUGAAAGGUACAACGAGAUGAGAGACCAAAGAGAUAAAAAGAGACAAAAUGAAAUCAACAAACCGUAGAGCCAUCCUCGAACUAUGAAAAAAAUCAUAGAAGUUAGAUCACCAAAAACCCGAGCUUGAAAACUAAGACGAGCAGAGACUAUUGACGGCAAACCAGUGACGAGGAAAACAACAUCAAUGACAACUAAACUCUGACCCAACCCAACGAAAUGUAGUUUCUAACUUUAGCUUAAACCUAAGAAAAAAGAAGACCAAUAUUGACCGAAAUAACAUACAACGCCGUAAAAAACAACCCCACAACAUGGAACUGAUAUGCAUGAUCUAUAACAAAUAUCAGAUAAUCUCACAGAAAAAAAAGGUGAGGAAAAAUGAGAGCACAUAGGUGAGUCUUUUCCCAGUGAUGGUGAGAAGCAUUGCACACCGGAGAGGUAAACAAAAUACACAGAUGGUGAUGGUUCAAGGUCAAAAGAUGGAGGAGAGUGCAAAACACACCUAAAAAGAGUAAUGUUCAAAAAUGUGAAAUAUUAAAAUACAAUUUUGACAUCGUUAAUCUUAGAAUCAACAAAUGCCUAAAAGACAAAGCUAUUGAAAUUCAAUAUGUUUUACAUCAUAAACUCACUUCAUCACUAACAACUAGUAUUAUACAUUAUUAAAAAGACAAACACAUAGUAUAUUAACUUAUUACUUACUACUACAUAACAUAAUAAAACAUGUUCUUCACAAAUAAAUACUGACCACAUAAUCACAUCAUCAGAAAAUCAUAUUUAAGAACAAUAAAAUAAUAUUCCGCGUGAAGCGCGAACAACCCCCUAAUUUAAUAUAAAGGUUUGUUUUUGGAGAAAAACACCUUCAAACUUUUUGUUUUUGAAGUUUUGCCAAACUUUAAAAUGAGGGAGGUUUUGGAAAUGCUCUUAGAGUUAUGAUGUUACAAAAAUUAAUCAACACUUCAUCACACUUGUUUUAUAUCAUUGAUUUAAUUUCUUAUAAUUUGAAAAUUUUAAUAACAUAACUAAGAGAGAUUAACAUGUUGACAUACUUUGGGCUUGGGUCUUUGCACUUUGACAUACUUAUUGAUUGGAGUGUACUUUGGAGUUGCUUUUUCGAUUUAUUAGGACAAAAUUGCCCUUUACUAGCUAAAAAUGUUUGUGACUAAAAACACACCAGUUUCGUUUGUUUGGAAACUCUAGUUACAUCUUAUAUUUUUGUCAUUAAUGUGUGACAGCUUUAUCGAGUUCUGGGCUUCAAACAAGACCGUUAGAUUGUUUUAUUUUAAGAUCAAUCUGAUGGCUGGUGUAUAACAAAGAACAAGUAGCAUGAAAAGGGAAGGGACAUCAACAUCCAUUAAAUGUUUGGCCCUUUUGUGGUCAGAUAAACCUCUGUGUUGUAGAUAACCUUUUAUGAAAUGACUUGUUUAUGUGAAGGAGUAUCAUGGUUGGAGGAAUCUUGGUCAGAGAUAGAGUUGUGGUCGGUGAUUAGUAGGUCAGCUGUGGAGGUUCUGUGUUCAGGUUUUGUAGUGAGUAAAGUGGUUUUGUGGUCAGGGAACACAUGGCUAUGAUUUGGAGUGGUUAAAGUGGUUAUAUGGUCAGAGGAGGUAUGAUCGGGGCAGCAUCAAGUAGGUCAGAGGUGGAGGUAUGGACAUCGAUAUAGUUGUGGUCAGUGAUCUAUGGGUUAGAGAUUGAGGUUUUGUGGUCACGGUUUGGAGUGGGUGAAGUGGUUAUGUGCCCAGGGGAUAUGUGGCCAGGAGCAGCAGAUACGGAGAUAAAAACGGUUAGAUUUAAGGUUCAUAACAUUAGAAGAAAAAUAGAAAAGUUAGAGAAAGUAGAAAUUUUCCAUCGUUAUAGAUCGGAGCAAAGUGGCGGUGUCUCUGGGAAAUUGAAAAUCAUGAACAUAGUCGAAGGAUAGUGGUGAUCCAAGUAGAAGGGAUGAGAAGACUUGUAUUUCCGUUUGGAAUCGAGGCCGUAAUAGCCGGUGAAUCGCUGAUUUAGUUUUAGAUUUAGUUGAAAGUAAAAUAAUUGAAAAACUGUGGAUAGGAAUUUCUAGUUAACUUUAAGUUUAGUUGAGAAGAGAUAUUAUUGUCAAUCCAUAGAGGAGAAGUACACCUUAUGUUGAAAGUAUGUCAACAUGUUAAAAGGUUUCCUGAAGAUACGUCAAAGAGUAAUUUUUUCCAUAACUAAACUGUAAUAUAAUUUUUCGGACAAAUUUAUAUUUUUUUGUCAUGGGAGGAAAAGCAAUUAAGAUAGUACAGACACAAAUGAGGACGGCCCAUUUAUAUUCUCGAGGCCCAUUUCGAAACGACGAAUAGUCGAAUGCUUUUUCGUAUUUCACCUGUUCAAUGUCGUCGUCUUUCUCAUUUCUCAUUUCUCAUUUCUCAUUUCUCAUUCUUCCUCCGAUACCGAGAUCUCGUUAACAAAAAAAUAAUCUCAAAUCUCCAGAAAUCAGCUCGUGUGUAUAUUACAGAAGCCUGUUCGAUCCGUGCUUAAGAAUCGCUAGGAUCGAAGAUGCCGGUGGCAGCUUCCGCCAUCUACUUUCUCAAUCUCCGUGGCGAUGUACUCAUCAAUCGCACCUACCGAGACGACGUCGGGUGAGACACCUUCUCCUUUCCUUUCCCACCAUGGAUCUCUCUCUGCACCGCUUGUGGGAUUCGAGCUCUUGUCUAAUAUUUUUUUGAUUUGAUUAAUUAGGGGAAACAUGGUGGACGCGUUUCGAACGCACAUAAUGCAAACCAAGGAGCUAGGGAACUGUCCAGUGCGUCAGAUUGGUGGCUGCUCCUUCGUCUAUAUGCGAAUCAGCAAUGUCUACAUCGUCAUUGUUGUCAGCAGCAAUGCUAAUGUUGCUUGUGGCUUCAAAUUCGUUGUUGAGGUAAAGAUUGAUUCUUAGCGUUAGAUGCUUGGUUUAGUUAAUAAUGUUGAUUCACGUACUACAGGCUGUUGCUUUGUUCAAAUCAUACUUUGGCGGCGCUUUUGAUGAAGACGCUAUUAAGAAUAACUUUGUCCUCAUUUAUGAAUUGUUGGACGGUUAGUACGCACGCAUAUAUGAUUCUUUCAUGGUUAAGCUGUUUUCUACAAGUAGUAUCUUUGUACUAUUUCGUGUGGAAUUUGCAGAGAUUAUGGACUUUGGCUAUCCACAGAAUCUCUCCCCUGAAAUUUUGAAGCUUUAUAUCACUCAGGAAGGUGUGCGUUCACCGUUUUCUUCAAAGGUAAAGGAUUGAACUUCUGUUUGGUGUACGGUGCUUGCUAGUGAAGUAGGUUUUUCAGUGAUAAGUUUCUUUUUUUUUUUGUGUAAAAAUGGAAACAGCCGAAGGAUAAGCCUGUUCCGAACGCAACGCUGCAAGUUACAGGUGCUGUUGGCUGGCGAAGAGAGGGUCUUUCUUAUAAAAAGAACGAGGUCAGAGUUGUGUUUCUUUCUUUCUGUGUGUAUUGCGUUUGCUAGAUUGUGCUGUGCCUAAGUGUUGACAUUAUGCAUUGUCCACUACUGCAGGUGUUUCUGGAUAUUGUGGAAAGCGUAAACCUUCUUAUGUCCUCUAAAGGUAAGUCGUUCCCUUUGUAAAACCUUUCUUUGUUCCUUGUUUUCUUUGUAUAAUUGUUUUUUGCAUAUUAUGGAAACUGUUAGGCAAUGUUCUUCGGUGUGAUGUGACUGGGAAAGUUUUAAUGAAAUGUUUCCUUUCGGGGAUGCCUGAUUUGAAGUUGGGGUUGAAUGAUAAAAUUGGUCUUGAGAAAGAAUCGGAAAUGAAAUCUCGUCCGGCUAAGAGGUAGCCUUUGUUUAAACAGUGAUCCACACUAGCUAGUAGCACUUUCCAUGGUUCUCACCUAGCUCACUCUUUGUGUACAGUGGUAAAACCAUUGAGCUUGAUGAUGUCACUUUUCACCAGUGUGUGAACCUGACAAGAUUCAAUUCCGAGAAGACCGUUAGCUUUGUACCACCGGAUGGUGAAUUUGAACUGAUGAAGUAAGUUUUGGGAAUGUUUACUGUUGCAUAUUGUUCCUGAUACUUAAAGUUUACUGAGUUGAUGGUGUCCUCAGGUAUCGAAUAACAGAGGGUGUGAAUCUGCCUUUCCGUGUAUUGCCAACGAUUAAAGAACUUGGUCGCACACGCAUGGAAGUAAAUGUGAAGGUACAUACAUAGCUUUCCUUCUCAAAGGUUAACCAAAAAAGCGGAUUGAUCUUUGCGCUCUUACAAUCCACUCCCAUAUUUCGUCUUUUCAGGUUAAAAGUGUGUUUGGUGCUAAAAUGUUUGCGCUUGGAGUCGUUGUCAAAAUCCCAGUGCCAAAACAAACAGCAAAGACGAACUUCCAAGUGACUUCUGGUCGCGCUAAAUACAACCCAUCAAUCGAUUGCUUGGUUUGGAAGUAAGUUUUAUUUCCUUUUAAUAAUUAUUGCAUAUUUAUAGUUAUAGUACGUGGUAUUGUAUCAAUCAUUUUUUUUUUUCUUUUGAAUGAAUGAAUGUUAAAUUUUUAUUCAUCAUAUUUAUAGUUUUAUUCAAUCAUUUACCUUCUCUCUUUUACUCUUUAGGAUAAGAAAAUUUCCAGGACAAACAGAGUCCACGCUAAGUGCAGAGAUUGAGUUGAUCUCAACAAUGGGAGAGAAGAAAUCUUGGACAAGGCCACCAAUCCAAAUGGAGUUUCAGGUCAAUCUUUUCUUCUGUUGUUGGCAUUGUUGAAUAGAACCAGGUUUGUUUGAGGUGAAUGUUAAUUAACCGUCUCAGCUUCGUUCUCUUUACAGGUGCCAAUGUUCACAGCCUCUGGUCUGCGAGUUCGUUUCCUCAAGGUACGCUUUGAUUUCUAUGUUUUUGUAGAGACCAAGAAUGUGAUUAGCUAAGUUUUGGAAUCUUUAACCCAUAUCCAGUUCAAUUUUUUUUUUUUUUAGUGUUAUAUUUUUCAUGUAUUAUUUUGAAAAAAUGUCAUUUAAUAUUAGUUAACAGUAUCUUUAUAUAUUUAUCAACCAUCUUUAUAUACUUUUACGUACACAUACAUGUGCACAUUGACGUGAGCACCUUUUAACUAAAUAUUUACCACAACUGAAAUAUCUAAUUUUUUUUAAAGUUAAAAAAUUCUUUUUAUUAAUGCUUCUUUCACUAUCAACCAAAUUGUAGUAAAAUGAUUUGUCUUAAUAAUUUUUUUUUUUAACUGUUAUCCGUUUAGGAACUAUAAUAUAAAACUAUUGGUUCGACAUCACGACUAUCUAAGAUUCAUAACAUGAAAACAAACAAAUAAUAGUACUUUUUGAUUAUCACAUAAAAAAAACAUCAAACAUUUUAACCAAACAAACCAAAUAAAUACUGAUUUAAAAUGAUAGUUAUAUUUUAGGAGAUUAAAAACCGAAAAAUAACCUAAAACCGAACCGAUAUCCAGAUUAAACAGAUUAAUAUCUCCUUAUUAAAAAAUAACGAAACUAAUAAUCAUAUUCCGCGCAACGCGCGGGUUAUUACCUGAUGUUUAUUGUUACGUAUCUGAUGCUGUAUUUUGUUUUCUCUAUGGACUUUAUUCAGUAGGAAUAUGUGUUAUUUUUUUUUAUUUUUUUUUUGAUAAUCCAGGGUUCCCCACUUACGUGGGUCAUUCCCUGGGCCUGGUUAGACAACGGUCCACUUCACCCGGGAGGGCUAUACCUGGGCUGGAGACAAGGCUCAACACCCAAUACUGCAUUUGAUGACAAGAUGGGCAGUUCUCCUCCGCAUGGCGUCGAACCGGGAGCAUGACAAUUGGCCCCCAAGGUCCUUACCAAACGAGCUACCACAUCCCGUCAGGGAUAUGUGUUAUUGCCAUCCUUAAUUAUAUAUAUGUAACGAUCUCUCUUUUCUACAAAAAUGAUUAAAUGAACCACCCUAUCUAAAGAUCAUUUUUUCUUGACGUCACUAAUCUUAAAACAAAACAUUUUGUGCAAGUGAUAAGUUGAUAGCUAUGAUUCUACGUAGAAAUCAUUUUUUUAGAAAAAGGAAUGAUAGGGGACCAUAUAUUGUAUAUAACAUUUAUAAUGUGAUUUAAUCUAAAGUAGACUUUGACCCGUGCAUAAGCAUGGAUGACUCUAAAAGGAUGAUUAACUACAGUCUUUUAGUCGGGGUUCUUAAUUCAUGAUUUGACAUUUUUUUUUUUUUUUUACAUUUUUCGAUUAAGAGAUGGCUUUUAUAUAUCUUAUUUAAGAGACAGCUCUUAUAUCUCUUAUUUAAGAGACGACUCUUAGUUUUUCUUAGUUUAAAUCUAAGAAAAACUAAGAAUUGUCUCCUAACCGAAACUAAGAAUCUCAGUUAAGAGAUUGGGUUAAUCAUGGUAUUAGGCUCUAAAGAUUGAUUUUUUUUCCAAAACUUUCUUUUCAAACUUGUUACACCUUAACGCCUUCUAUCAAAAAUAAAGCUUAUUGCACCUCAUCAAUGGUUUAUCUUUUUUUUUUGAACUGUCAUCAAUGGUUUAUUACGCUCUGUAUGCCUCAUAAAGCUGACGUGCAAUCCAUCCUGCAAACACCAAACCCGAUUCACAUUUUCUCCAACAUAAUCAACACAUCAUUAAACUAUGUACGGCCUUGCUAUUUCAUUACCUUACAUACAAACAUGCGGUUUAAAUGACAUUUUAAAAUACAAACAUCUGUAAUGGACGUCAAAAUUUUCUAAAGUACGCGCGGCUCUUUGGUUCAGUACAUGGUCAAAGGCACUGAGAAGCUUCCUGCUAAGGUAACAUAACAUAAUAUCCCUAAUGGUAUCUCAAGAUUAUUGAUUCUUACCGGAGAAAUUGAAACUUGAUGAAUAGGUUCGUAGGUUCCAGAGUCCUAAUGAACAUCCUUUCUUUCCAGACUAUUUGCCAGAGCCUAUGUUGCCAGCUCUGCAGUGCCCAAAGGUGCUUACGUGAAUUUAAGAUUGAGGCUUUAGUGGACUUUUCAUGGGUUAUUACGUCUUAUUAAUGUGAUUUCUGUAUAAACUCUUCUUAUUCGAGCUGUGUUUUGAAGUUUUAUACUACAUGAUAAGGGAUUCAGUUUUGUAUCUUAUCAAGUAGGUUUGCAUUUUGCUGCUGAUUCUUUUUUUUUAUAUCAACAUAAACAAUAAGAUAUGGAACAUGUAGUUUAGAAAUUAAUGACGUCCAUUACAAAAUGAUGUUUGUAUUUUAUAAUUUAGAGAUUAAGAUAUUGAGCUGUCUACGUUUUAACCAAACAUGGAUACAAACUUUCAGAUCAUGUGUCCAUAUAUCCAUAUCAUACUUAUCCCAAAAUAUAUUCUUCUCAAUUCCUAAAUCAAAAUAUAGUUUCUCUAGCUAGAACAUGAUGGGAUCAACAGUAAAUCAAAAAUGGAGGAAGAAACAAACAUAGACCAUCUCCAAUUGGUUAGAACUCAUCAUGGAUUCUAAUGAUUAAAUUAAUUGUAAAUUUUGUAAUUUGUGAAGUUUAGAACUCCUUGUAAUUUAUCAUGUCCAAUGGUAGAACUUUUUUGAAGUUUUUAAGAGAGAAAGAGACAACAAAGAAAGAGAAAGGCAAUGGAGAAAAAGAUAUACACACAAAAUGAGCCAAUAAGAAAAUGACACUUUAGAGGUUAUUACCAAUUCUAAAAACUUUAUUUUAAUAACAUGUGCUUAGCCUUUUAUUUCUUUUUGAUUUAUGUUUUGAACUUUUUUUUAAAGAACUACUCCUUAACACCAUCCAUUGGAGGUGCUCUUAGCAUUGGCGAUAUUGAAGAGGUGAAGUGAAUCAUCCUCACUGGAUUCUCUCCAUGCACAUCCAAAAUUGAAACUCCAUGAUUAAUAAUUUCAAAAACUGGAUUUACGCAACGUUAAAGAGAUUAAUAUGAAAUCAAAAGAGGAUAAUAAGAAGAAUAGUUCGUAUGAAAUCAGAGAAGACUGCUCUGAUGACAAUCAUGCGUACCAGUCGGUCGUCUUGAAGCACAAGAAAAUCCAAGAGCUAGAGGCGAACUACCAAGAGAGAACGAAUACCAUAGGAACGGUGUUAAUUUGAGUACCUAGCUAAUUGUUUAUAGAUACAAAAAAUAUUCAUUAUGGAAUACAUUUUAUUAUUAGGAAAAUAAACUAUAUACUCGUUUGAAGUCACGAUUUCUGGAAAUGGUCCCAAACUAAAAAAAUCACACAUUAAAAAAUGUUGUGAUUUUACAAUGUGAUUUUUAAUAACAUAUUAAUAAUAUACACAAAGAAGAAAUAACAACUUGGGUCCAUAGCUCAGUGGUAGAGCAAUUUACUGCAGAUCAAUAGGUUACUGGUUCGAACCCCGGUUGGGCCCUAACUCUUUUGUUGUUUUAUUUCGAAAUUUUGCUUUUAGUUAUAAAAAUGUUCUUUCUAUAAAUUAACCCUCGCAAAUUACCAGCUAUACACAAAAUUCCGGUUCCUUACUUUUCUAAUCUUUGUAUUUACGUAACUGUAAGUUUCAAAUAAAGUUUAUAACUUCCUUGUUUAAUCCUUUUAGUCCUUUUUAAUACAUAAUAUAUAAUUAACACUACAACAAAUAUUAUACAAAGAUUAUAUUAUAGCCAACAAAUACUUGUACAACAAUAAAAUCAAAAUUUGUUAACAACAUUUUAAUUUUUCGUGCAUUUUUUUAAGUGCUAAUUUAUUUAAAUUUAAUGAUUUAGUUUUACGUUUUUAUUUAUAUGCAAUGUUUUACUAUAAUAUAAUAUCUUCUUUAUUAAUUUUGUUUUAUAAAACUUUUGUUAGAUAUUUUAUAGUUAUUGUAAAAGACUUAUGUUUUUAGUUAAGUAUUGUUAAACAUAAGAAUUAUUAUGUAAAAUAUAAAAGUUUUAAGAUUUAUAUAUAUAAAGUUGGUUUUUUCCCCUUUCUGACAAGUGGCAGGGGUUUUUGCGAUACGUAUCAUCCGUGUAUUUCUUUUACAUUUUAGGACCUUUUUUUUUUAGAUUAUUGCAAUUUGGCCAAAUACUUACUAAUCAUGGACUACCUAAUUCAUUUCGCACUAACUAUUAUCGUAUGAAGUUUGAUAAUCUAUUUUAUUGUUAACUAAAAUUCAAGAUGAAUAAAGAAAUAAAUAAAAUAAUAAAAAUAUAUUUUACAUAUUUAAUUUAUUCACAACUAAACAUAACAUAAAUUUUUUUAUUUUAUUAUUUUUUACCAUUUUCUAUUAUUUAAUUUACAAAUUAUAUAUUUAUUUAAUUAUUAAAAAUAUAAAAUGACCAAACUAAUAAGAAGAAAUUAGAGUGCAAUACAUAAUCUAUACAUAAACUUCCACAGUCAGAGAGAAAAAGUAAAAUAUCAUAUUAACACUAACUCAAUAAAUAUUUAGAGCUGAAAAAAGAUCAACAAAGAAGACUAGCCUAUCUCAUCUUACCAUAAAGUGUCUUCACUGGAACAAGAAGAUUUCAGAAAAAGGUAAAAAAAUAAAAUAUGAGAUAAAACAAUCCUCAAAACACAAAGGAUCGAGAUCAAGCACCAUCGCAAAAAAACCAAAAAAGCGGACCAAAGAAAGAAUAAUCAUCGGAAGAACAAAGUCACCAUAAAACAAAAAGACGCAUGUCUAAAGCACCGAAAAUACAACCACCAGCUAAGAGAUAAGAAACACCUCACAAACUAAACAAGCACAUACAAGGAACUCAUGCCAGCGAAGAACCAAAAAACUCUGAAUAGAAGAAAUCAAAGCUCCAAAAGACUAACUCCGCACACCUACACCAAAGGAUGCAUGAGAAGAAGAUAAACAACCUGGAUGGGAGAGAAUGGAAGCCAACCACCGAGAAACCAAAGCUGAAGCUUGAGACCAUAAACAACCUUCCAAGUGUACAAAGCAUACACAGAGAAAAACACUAUCUAAACCUGGAGUAGCAAAUAUGGUGAAAGGGAGAGCCACAAGAGACGUGAUCAGCGAUGAAAGGUACAACGAGAUGAGAGACCAAAGAGAUAAAAAGAGACAAAAUGAAAUCAACAAACCGUAGAGCCAUCCUCGAACUAUGAAAAAAAUCAUAGAAGUUAGAUCACCAAAAACCCGAGCUUGAAAACUAAGACGAGCAGAGACUAUUGACGGCAAACCAGUGACGAGGAAAACAACAUCAAUGACAACUAAACUCUGACCCAACCCAACGAAAUGUAGUUUCUAACUUUAGCUUAAACCUAAGAAAAAAGAAGACCAAUAUUGACCGAAAUAACAUACAACGCCGUAAAAAACAACCCCACAACAUGGAACUGAUAUGCAUGAUCUAUAACAAAUAUCAGAUAAUCUCACAGAAAAAAAAGGUGAGGAAAAAUGAGAGCACAUAGGUGAGUCUUUUCCCAGUGAUGGUGAGAAGCAUUGCACACCGGAGAGGUAAACAAAAUACACAGAUGGUGAUGGUUCAAGGUCAAAAGAUGGAGGAGAGUGCAAAACACACCUAAAAAGAGUAAUGUUCAAAAAUGUGAAAUAUUAAAAUACAAUUUUGACAUCGUUAAUCUUAGAAUCAACAAAUGCCUAAAAGACAAAGCUAUUGAAAUUCAAUAUGUUUUACAUCAUAAACUCACUUCAUCACUAACAACUAGUAUUAUACAUUAUUAAAAAGACAAACACAUAGUAUAUUAACUUAUUACUUACUACUACAUAACAUAAUAAAACAUGUUCUUCACAAAUAAAUACUGACCACAUAAUCACAUCAUCAGAAAAUCAUAUUUAAGAACAAUAAAAUAAUAUUCCGCGUGAAGCGCGAACAACCCCCUAAUUUAAUAUAAAGGUUUGUUUUUGGAGAAAAACACCUUCAAACUUUUUGUUUUUGAAGUUUUGCCAAACUUUAAAAUGAGGGAGGUUUUGGAAAUGCUCUUAGAGUUAUGAUGUUACAAAAAUUAAUCAACACUUCAUCACACUUGUUUUAUAUCAUUGAUUUAAUUUCUUAUAAUUUGAAAAUUUUAAUAACAUAACUAAGAGAGAUUAACAUGUUGACAUACUUUGGGCUUGGGUCUUUGCACUUUGACAUACUUAUUGAUUGGAGUGUACUUUGGAGUUGCUUUUUCGAUUUAUUAGGACAAAAUUGCCCUUUACUAGCUAAAAAUGUUUGUGACUAAAAACACACCAGUUUCGUUUGUUUGGAAACUCUAGUUACAUCUUAUAUUUUUGUCAUUAAUGUGUGACAGCUUUAUCGAGUUCUGGGCUUCAAACAAGACCGUUAGAUUGUUUUAUUUUAAGAUCAAUCUGAUGGCUGGUGUAUAACAAAGAACAAGUAGCAUGAAAAGGGAAGGGACAUCAACAUCCAUUAAAUGUUUGGCCCUUUUGUGGUCAGAUAAACCUCUGUGUUGUAGAUAACCUUUUAUGAAAUGACUUGUUUAUGUGAAGGAGUAUCAUGGUUGGAGGAAUCUUGGUCAGAGAUAGAGUUGUGGUCGGUGAUUAGUAGGUCAGCUGUGGAGGUUCUGUGUUCAGGUUUUGUAGUGAGUAAAGUGGUUUUGUGGUCAGGGAACACAUGGCUAUGAUUUGGAGUGGUUAAAGUGGUUAUAUGGUCAGAGGAGGUAUGAUCGGGGCAGCAUCAAGUAGGUCAGAGGUGGAGGUAUGGACAUCGAUAUAGUUGUGGUCAGUGAUCUAUGGGUUAGAGAUUGAGGUUUUGUGGUCACGGUUUGGAGUGGGUGAAGUGGUUAUGUGCCCAGGGGAUAUGUGGCCAGGAGCAGCAGAUACGGAGAUAAAAACGGUUAGAUUUAAGGUUCAUAACAUUAGAAGAAAAAUAGAAAAGUUAGAGAAAGUAGAAAUUUUCCAUCGUUAUAGAUCGGAGCAAAGUGGCGGUGUCUCUGGGAAAUUGAAAAUCAUGAACAUAGUCGAAGGAUAGUGGUGAUCCAAGUAGAAGGGAUGAGAAGACUUGUAUUUCCGUUUGGAAUCGAGGCCGUAAUAGCCGGUGAAUCGCUGAUUUAGUUUUAGAUUUAGUUGAAAGUAAAAUAAUUGAAAAACUGUGGAUAGGAAUUUCUAGUUAACUUUAAGUUUAGUUGAGAAGAGAUAUUAUUGUCAAUCCAUAGAGGAGAAGUACACCUUAUGUUGAAAGUAUGUCAACAUGUUAAAAGGUUUCCUGAAGAUACGUCAAAGAGUAAUUUUUUCCAUAACUAAACUGUAAUAUAAUUUUUCGGACAAAUUUAUAUUUUUUUGUCAUGGGAGGAAAAGCAAUUAAGAUAGUACAGACACAAAUGAGGACGGCCCAUUUAUAUUCUCGAGGCCCAUUUCGAAACGACGAAUAGUCGAAUGCUUUUUCGUAUUUCACCUGUUCAAUGUCGUCGUCUUUCUCAUUUCUCAUUUCUCAUUUCUCAUUUCUCAUUCUUCCUCCGAUACCGAGAUCUCGUUAACAAAAAAAUAAUCUCAAAUCUCCAGAAAUCAGCUCGUGUGUAUAUUACAGAAGCCUGUUCGAUCCGUGCUUAAGAAUCGCUAGGAUCGAAGAUGCCGGUGGCAGCUUCCGCCAUCUACUUUCUCAAUCUCCGUGGCGAUGUACUCAUCAAUCGCACCUACCGAGACGACGUCGGGUGAGACACCUUCUCCUUUCCUUUCCCACCAUGGAUCUCUCUCUGCACCGCUUGUGGGAUUCGAGCUCUUGUCUAAUAUUUUUUUGAUUUGAUUAAUUAGGGGAAACAUGGUGGACGCGUUUCGAACGCACAUAAUGCAAACCAAGGAGCUAGGGAACUGUCCAGUGCGUCAGAUUGGUGGCUGCUCCUUCGUCUAUAUGCGAAUCAGCAAUGUCUACAUCGUCAUUGUUGUCAGCAGCAAUGCUAAUGUUGCUUGUGGCUUCAAAUUCGUUGUUGAGGUAAAGAUUGAUUCUUAGCGUUAGAUGCUUGGUUUAGUUAAUAAUGUUGAUUCACGUACUACAGGCUGUUGCUUUGUUCAAAUCAUACUUUGGCGGCGCUUUUGAUGAAGACGCUAUUAAGAAUAACUUUGUCCUCAUUUAUGAAUUGUUGGACGGUUAGUACGCACGCAUAUAUGAUUCUUUCAUGGUUAAGCUGUUUUCUACAAGUAGUAUCUUUGUACUAUUUCGUGUGGAAUUUGCAGAGAUUAUGGACUUUGGCUAUCCACAGAAUCUCUCCCCUGAAAUUUUGAAGCUUUAUAUCACUCAGGAAGGUGUGCGUUCACCGUUUUCUUCAAAGGUAAAGGAUUGAACUUCUGUUUGGUGUACGGUGCUUGCUAGUGAAGUAGGUUUUUCAGUGAUAAGUUUCUUUUUUUUUUUGUGUAAAAAUGGAAACAGCCGAAGGAUAAGCCUGUUCCGAACGCAACGCUGCAAGUUACAGGUGCUGUUGGCUGGCGAAGAGAGGGUCUUUCUUAUAAAAAGAACGAGGUCAGAGUUGUGUUUCUUUCUUUCUGUGUGUAUUGCGUUUGCUAGAUUGUGCUGUGCCUAAGUGUUGACAUUAUGCAUUGUCCACUACUGCAGGUGUUUCUGGAUAUUGUGGAAAGCGUAAACCUUCUUAUGUCCUCUAAAGGUAAGUCGUUCCCUUUGUAAAACCUUUCUUUGUUCCUUGUUUUCUUUGUAUAAUUGUUUUUUGCAUAUUAUGGAAACUGUUAGGCAAUGUUCUUCGGUGUGAUGUGACUGGGAAAGUUUUAAUGAAAUGUUUCCUUUCGGGGAUGCCUGAUUUGAAGUUGGGGUUGAAUGAUAAAAUUGGUCUUGAGAAAGAAUCCGAAAUGAAAUCUCGUCCGGCUAAGAGGUAGCCUUUGUUUAAACAGUGAUCCACACUAGCUAGUAGCACUUUCCAUGGUUCUCACCUAGCUCACUCUUUGUGUACAGUGGUAAAACCAUUGAGCUUGAUGAUGUCACUUUUCACCAGUGUGUGAACCUGACAAGAUUCAAUUCCGAGAAGACCGUUAGCUUUGUACCACCGGAUGGUGAAUUUGAACUGAUGAAGUAAGUUUUGGGAAUGUUUACUGUUGCAUAUUGUUCCUGAUACUUAAAGUUUACUGAGUUGAUGGUGUCCUCAGGUAUCGAAUAACAGAGGGUGUGAAUCUGCCUUUCCGUGUAUUGCCAACGAUUAAAGAACUUGGUCGCACACGCAUGGAAGUAAAUGUGAAGGUACAUACAUAGCUUUCCUUCUCAAAGGUUAACCAAAAAAGCGGAUUGAUCUUUGCGCUCUUACAAUCCACUCCCAUAUUUCGUCUUUUCAGGUUAAAAGUGUGUUUGGUGCUAAAAUGUUUGCGCUUGGAGUCGUUGUCAAAAUCCCAGUGCCAAAACAAACAGCAAAGACGAACUUCCAAGUGACUUCUGGUCGCGCUAAAUACAACCCAUCAAUCGAUUGCUUGGUUUGGAAGUAAGUUUUAUUUCCUUUUAAUAAUUAUUGCAUAUUUAUAGUUAUAGUACGUGGUAUUGUAUCAAUCAUUUUUUUUUUUCUUUUGAAUGAAUGAAUGUUAAAUUUUUAUUCAUCAUAUUUAUAGUUUUAUUCAAUCAUUUACCUUCUCUCUUUUACUCUUUAGGAUAAGAAAAUUUCCAGGACAAACAGAGUCCACGCUAAGUGCAGAGAUUGAGUUGAUCUCAACAAUGGGAGAGAAGAAAUCUUGGACAAGGCCACCAAUCCAAAUGGAGUUUCAGGUCAAUCUUUUCUUCUGUUGUUGGCAUUGUUGAAUAGAACCAGGUUUGUUUGAGGUGAAUGUUAAUUAACCGUCUCAGCUUCGUUCUCUUUACAGGUGCCAAUGUUCACAGCCUCUGGUCUGCGAGUUCGUUUCCUCAAGGUACGCUUUGAUUUCUAUGUUUUUGUAGAGACCAAGAAUGUGAUUAGCUAAGUUUUGGAAUCUUUAACCCAUAUCCAGUUCAAUUUUUUUUUUUUUUAGUGUUAUUUUGGCUUGCUUCAUUUGCUUCAUUGUUACCCUGGACUUGAAUGAUUUACACGGUCGAGUGGGUUCGAUACAUAACAAAAGCUGGAUCUUAUGAGAUCAGAUGCUGAACUUAAAAAUGACAGACUUGAGAGGCUCGUUGGCUUCUAGCUUUUGUUCCUUAUUGAAAAGAAGAGUUAGAUAUCGUUUAUAUCUCGUUGCUUGGCCAUAAGAGGUAUCUUGUGUUCAUAUGAUUUCUUACGUCUUUGGUUUUGAAUUAGUUUUCUCUUAUCUGUUUGUGAAAUUAAUUUGCUGUAGUUGAGCGUGAUCGUAUUUGUGAAAGAAAUAUUAAUCGGUCCUAAUAUAUUAAAUAAAUUCUAUGAUGUGUAACCAAAAUGAAUUUCGUAAUUAAUAUUUAAAUGUUACACUGAAAUUGAAAAAUUUAUUGGCUACAUUACGUUCUUUUAUCCAUCUCGAAGAUCCGCUCGUUUGUGACUAGAAGCUUUUUGGAUAUUUUACGUGUUAGAAGCGUAUUAUAUGAUAAAUUGUUUUAGAACUUUUAAAUAACUACAUAACAAGAUGGAGAAUGGACUUCCAAUUAAACAUGUGAAAGAGAUAGGCAUCAAUGUAGACCUUUUGAAGGCAAGUACGACAUCACAAUAAACCUGCACCACUAGUUGCCUCAUUGGGAUGUGGUGAUCCAUCAAAUUGACAACGAGCUUGAGCCAUGCCCAAUAUAAUCCUCUAUGUAGAAGCAAUUUUUACUCUUUCAUCCUUCAUUCGUUUAUUUCAUUUAACAAGAAUUAUCAUAAUUAAGGGUAUCAUGAUUAUCUACUAUUGAAUUUUAUUUUUUGCUUGAGCUUAAAAUUCAUGGUUAGAGACAUCAUUGCAAAUGCUAGCUAGAGCUAGGUGGAUUUUAUAUCGAUAUGACAGAAAAAUCUGCGCAGAAGGCUAUGAGCAGUGCCACCAAUACAGACUUCUAUGUAAUAAUGUAAAUAGAAGCUGAAGUUUCUCGAACUUGCAAUAACCAACCUGCGGAGCCACUAGUGUUGGGAGGAAACUAUAUGAACUUCUUCGCACAAUAUAUUUUAAAUAUAUAAAACAUAAAAUUCACUAUAAAACAAAAAUGUCAAAAGAUCUCUCUCUUUUAAAUGAAAACUAUUUUCUAUUAUCUUUUUCUCUUCUUUUCAUUAUUCAUUUUUAUUGCUAACAGAGAUGUUUUAACAUUGUGUGGACAUCUACCUGCUUUUUCUGCAACAACAAAAGAUUACUGAAUAUUAUCACAAAAUGUCGUAAUUUUUCCUAUAAAAAGCUAGGCCUGAAGCUAAUGUUUUGGCUAAUGAUCUGGUCAAGCUAAUAUUAAAUCACAAAAGUAUGUAAUCAAAUGGAUCAUGUAACUUUUAGUAGUAAUAAAUCUGUGGAGGAUAAAAUAUAUAUAUACUAUCAAAUUUAAUAAGAUAUAUUUACAUUUUCAUAAUUUAUGUAAAUAUUAAAUUCAUACUAGAAAUGAUUACCACAAAUAUUUGUUGCUAUAUUAUGGAUGAUAAUAGAAACAAACGAAGACCUAAUAAAAUAUUUUCUUGCAUGAUUUAAGUAGAAUAUCCAACCAAAAUAUUAGAUUAAAGUUAACAGGAUCCUUAAUAAUAUCUAAUAUAUUAAAUUUAAAAUAAACACAAAAUAAAAUAUCCUGAAAACCCUAUAUAAACUUUGUUUUCUAUUAAAUUACAAAUUCCGCCCACAACUUCGUCCUCUCUCUCGCGUUUGUGAUAGAGAUAGAGUUGUUAGCUAGCUCACACGCUUCUAUUCUCUCGACUCUAUUUUCUAGGAAUUAACAGCAAAACAGAAAAAGAUAAAAGAAACCAAAAAAACUGGGUCUACGAAAGUUAGGCCGAAAGAAACAAUCAAACAGUCUUUGAGAUUGAUUUUUUUUUUUCUCUCUCUCUAAUGGAUUCAAGAGAUAUCACACAAACGCAGCACCAACAGUUUCAGCCACCACUGUUUCAUUACCCUAACUUUAACACUGGCGCAAUGAUGGGACCUAACUCGACUUCCCAGUCGAUUAAUCAUCGUCUAACUUUUGGCUCUCUCACACCGCGUGGGACGCUUCAGCAGCAAGAACAGCAGAUGGAUCAGAAAACGCUUGAAUCUCUUGGAUACGUCGAUGAAGUAUCGCCUUCUUCUCAACCGAUGCGAUCUGGGAUCGAUCAGAACCAACAACAAGUGAAGAGGAAGAGAGGAAGGCCAAGGAAGUACGCUCCUGAUGGUACAAUUGCAUUAGGUUUAGCUCCGACUUCUCCUCUUGGUGGUGACGGAGACAGCGGCAGAGUAAAUACAAACUCUGCUAAACGAGCAAGAGGAAGACCUCCGGGCUCCAUCAAGAAACAAUUUGAUGCUUUAGGUGAAAUAGAAACUCUAACCCUUUGGACACGUUUGUUUGUGGUUUACAUGCAAUAUAUUUGACUGUUUUGUUUUGUGUGUGAAUAGGAACAUCAGGAGGUAUGUUUACUCCUCAUGUCAUUGAAGUGAAAGAAGGAGAGGUACAACUUUAUUGUUUUCUUUUAGUAAUCUUUAAAUGUGAUUGAUUGGUUGUUAAAACAAUGUUUAAAUGCUGCAAUAUUGGUAAAUUUAAAGAGUUUGGAGGAGGUAUUAUUUUUCAGUAAAUUAGAUGGAAGAAUGAUUUACGAGUUUUUUGGGGUUUUUUUUUCUGGUAAAUCAGGAAAUAUUAUCAAAGGUGGCGGCUCUUUCGAAUCAAGGGCCACGAACAGUUUCAGUUCUCUCUGCAGCUGGCGCAGUUUCUAGAGUGAUACUACAUAAUCCUAGUGGAAUUCAUAAUUAUAAGGUUUUUAACAAACUAUGUUCUUUCACUUCAGUAAUGUAAAGCUAAUAUUUGUUUGUGUUGAGAAUUGUACAUGUGUUCUUUUGCAGGGACGGUUCGAGAUCGUUACACUCUCAGGCUCCUUCUCCAAUUAUGAGGUAAAUGGUUCCAUCGAAAGAACUGGUAGUUUGACUGUGGUUUUGGCUGGUCCCAAUGCCCAGAUUUUAGGUGGCCUAGUUGGUCGGUUAGUAGCUGUAACACCAGUGCAGGUAACAAAAUAUAAAUCAAUAUUGGGUUUGUUGGAGUCAUAUUUGUCAUUUGACUCAUAAUUUGGUUCCGUGUAUAGAUCAUAGUGGGAAGCUUUGUUGACGAAGCAAAGAAAUUGAAACAGAGUACCGGUAACAAUGCUCAGGGACAGAAUCCUGAACCGGCUUCAGCACCAGCUAAUAUGUUGAACUUUGGAUCGAACUCUCAAGGACUAUCUAGCGAGUCAUCAGAUGGGAAUGAAAGUGGUUCUCCUUCAGUGCAGCACCAUGACAACAACAAUAAUGGGAUUUAUGGAAACUCAAUGGCUCAACAACAGCAACUGCGUCAGAUGCAAAUGUAUAAUCUUUGGCCUAGUAGUGGUCAAUAAAUAGAAUUUGCGUUUUGGUUUUGGUUUGGUUUAGGCUGGUUUUGAUCUUUGUUUCCUUUGAGAAGGUUAAGCUACAAGCUUGAGGAUUCUUUUUAGCUUCUUUUGUUUUGUUUUUGGAGAUUUUAGAUACAUAUAGGAGAUCUUAAAAUUAGGGUUCUUUCAGUUUUGUUUUACUUUACUCAUUGUAGGAGUGAUUAAUUUAGUUUCUCGGUCAAUUUUCUUUUAUUUUAUUUUACCGUGAUGGUCAAUAAAAGAUCUCUCUUUUUCUUGUUUCUUAUUCAGGAAUUUAAAGAAAACUUGUUUGUGACGUUAGGGUUAAUGUCUUUGAUAUUAAUUCGUGUUAGUUAUAUCUCAGCCGAUACAUUUGAUAAAGGACCUAACUUAGGGGUUAGGGGUGAACCUUUAAAUUCAUCACACCAUUUAUGACCAAUCAAAAUGAAACAUAGAUUAUUAAUUAAAAACAUUAAAUUAAAUAAAAAAUAGUUACAAAAAAUAAAAAAACUAAUUUUAACGACGCUAACACUUCCAGCUAAAACCUAAACCCUAUACCCUAAAUUCUAAAUCCAAAUCCAAAUUCCUAAACCCAAACCCUAUACCCUAAACCCUAAUCCUAGACCCUAAACCCAAAUUAUAUACCCUGAACCCAAAAACUACACUAUAAACCUAAACUCUAUACCCUAAACCCAAGUCUUAGACCCUAAACCCAAAUCGUAAACCUUAAACUCAAAUUAUAUACCCUAAACCCAAAAC
This 84686-nucleotide long non-coding RNA is filed under the name Brassica napus (rape). RNAcentral describes it as "long non-coding RNA (BNAP_LNC014622)". The stretch from base 57798 to 57869 matches the Rfam family "tRNA". The record is from RNAcentral. Lineage: Eukaryota; Viridiplantae; Streptophyta; Magnoliopsida; Brassicales; Brassicaceae.